RNAcentral lists this long non-coding RNA (55135 nucleotides) under Citrus sinensis (sweet orange). RNAcentral's name for it is "long non-coding RNA (CSIN_LNC000054)". Lineage: Eukaryota; Viridiplantae; Streptophyta; Magnoliopsida; Sapindales; Rutaceae. The record is from RNAcentral.
CAUGCACAGUACAGAUAUAUGAGAUAAGAGAUAUGAGAUAUGAGAUGAGAACGUCCCCAUCUAUCCGUUGUGGCUCCGGGGCAUGACGUUACCCAGAUAGUGCGUCAUUGCCUGGCCGUUGAAGCCUGGAUAUGAUCAGAUUAUUCCCUGGGUACUUGUUUGAUGACAGUUUUUAGUAUUCAGUAUUUAAUAUGAGUAUGGUGAUUUCAUCGAUUUUAUGCAGAUUUAUUAUUGCAGUUAUUCAAUUUGAAUUAAAUGAGUUUAUGAUAUUUUGAGAAAUUGAUUUGAGAAUUGAUUUACGAAAUUGAAAUUGAUUUAAGAAAAGAUUUGAGAAAGAUUAAAUGAUUUUGAAUAAUUUAUUAAAGUAUCAGCACCUACUAUCCACUCACUGAGCUCACAGAGUUUUAUACUCACCCCUCUUUUAUUAUAUUUUUUCCCCCCACAGGAGAUUUACAGGUACAUCAGUCAACCCAGUAGUGAACGUUAGUUUGAUAUUGUGGUCACGUGAUGGUGCUAGAAGUCGUGGAUUUUAUUAUUAUAUUCGAAAUUUGUGUUAUUAUUUUAUGUUAUUAAGGAUAAUCGUUGUAUUUUAAUAUUCGGAUGAUUUUGGUGAUAUUUGAUAAGUUGAUUUGAGAAGUUGGUUAUGGAGGAUGUUUGGUUAUUAAAUUAUUUCGGGAGUGUUAUUUUGUCAUUUGCAGGGUUGGAUAUGUUUUAUUUAUAAGGGAGACUCUGCCGAAAUUUUUUUAUAGAUUUGUUAUUAAUUCGAUUUUACGAGUUUAGAUAGACUCGCCCUGGGGGAGGUUGCGGGGCGGGUCGUUUCACACAAUGUUCAAAAGUCCAAAGAGUAAGUCACAAUUCAUACAUCCAAAUUCCAAUUUCAUAUAGGGACUGAUUUGUAAGAAAUUUUAGGCCAAAAUAAAAUUUUCAUAAGCUUUAUGGUAGUAUACUAAUUUCAAGAGAAAGAAGGGAGCUAAUUGAAAUUUUUUAAAAAGGGAAAAACACUAGAAUUAAGCAAAGGAAUGAUAAAAAGAUAAAUAAAGAGCAAAACUAAUAAAUGAGAAUAGAAAAUAAAAAAUAAUAAAAAUGAAAUUGAUACCAAAUUUAGAAAAUUCUAUAAUAACGAAGUAAAAAACUUAACAUGAUUCAAAAGUGUUGAUUACUCCAAAGUAUAAGGGUGUCCAAUUAUAAUAUAACCCGUUGAGUCGGAAGUCGAACCGCAGGAAAUUUAUAAAUCUAGUAAUCAAUUAUUAAAUAAAAAUUAAUUGCAUAAAAAGAAAUUAAUAGAGACUAAUCUAGAAAAUACAAAGGUUACAAGAUCCACUCUCGGUUUUUAAAUUAUGGUCAAAAUACUCUCUCAUAUUUAUAUUUUGCAUUUUUUUAGCUAGUUAAUUACUAUGCUGUUUAAUUCUUAAUUGGUCAUCUGUAUGGAUAAAUAUGAGAUUAAGUACCUAAUGUGUCAAAAAUAUAUCGGAGUGUCAAUAUUAUGUCUUAAUUCAAUAUAGAUCCAAGAGAAUUUAGAUUUAUAAAUUAACAUGAUAUAAAAAUAACUAAUGAAGAAAACAAAUACGAAUUAUAAUCAUAUAACAAAAUAAAAUAAACUUUAACUAGUGUGGUUGGAGCCUGUUUGGUUUAGUGUUGGACCCAUGUCAUCACGUAAAUUCGCUAUUUUAUCAAGCACAAGUGAUGGUAAAGGAAUAGAAGCAUUGGUGGUAAUCUUUAGGGAGGAUAUGGACAAAUUUGAACAAGACCGUAGCAUCAUGGCUCAUGCUUCAUCUAACCCUAGCAUACUUGUAAAAUAGUGGUAAGGAGUCAGCUUCCGGCCUAGCAUAAAAAUUCGAGAUUAUAGUCCAAGAGAAGUUCACAAUGCUGUAAACCGUCUUUUUCAUUAUUUUACAACAUUGUAAUUAAACUCGUCACGUAAAAUUUUCAUAAUAGCAAGAGACUUUAUUUAUUUUAAUUAUCUUUAUAAACUUGAUGUCGAAUGCUACUGCAUGUAGCUAAUUGAAUGGUUGUAUAAUAAAUAUCAUUUAUCUCUAUUAUAAUCUCUAACAAUUAUUGGUCUUUCGAGGUUAAUUAGCUAGGGUUAGAACAAGUGAAAAGAAAUGCUAAAUGAAAUAAAUUUGAGUUGGACAAACAUAUAUACGAGUCAUUCGUGUGACAUAUGGAUCCCAAUUUUCUUCUUACUUAUUCUUUCCCUGUCUCCUGAUUUUUUUUUUUAACAAGCUCUAUUUGUACAAAUAUCUGAACGGUCUAAGAUCAAUAACAGUUACACACAAAUAUCUAAAACUAAACUUAUUGGCCUCCACACACUUCUAGCUUUACUCUUUCAAAAACAGUAGACACUACGCAACCAUGUACGUGCUAUAUAUAUCUUCAAUGGGCUCUGAGAAAUCAGCCGUUUCAUUCACUUCUUAGAGAAAUCUGCCAAAGGGGAUAAAGAAUCAAGAUUAACAACGCAUAAAAUAAAUCACACACCAUGCAACAGAGAUACAAUAAUUUAUAUCCGCUACAAGAAAUCUGCAUUAUGACAGCAUGUGAAAAGUGCUGCAAACGUUGUUAUGAAGAAUGCUGUAAAAAGACGCAAUACUUCUGAAGCAUUUCUUUUACUGCAGAAUCCAUAAUAUUGCACCAGCUAUGGAAGACGGCAACUACCUGAACAAUGCGAAAAUAAUGAUAUUGAAUCCAAGCACGGAUAUUAUCAGAUUAAUCAAACUUAAAAUUCAUCUGUAGAAUGUCAACAUUGAAACACUAUUUCCCUUCUUUUUAUGGAUCAUUCAGCAGUCUCACUGCAAAAUCAACAAACAUUAUCAGAACAUAAACAAUUUCAUGCCCGUUCAAAUACUAGGAACAAUAUUAAUAUUCAAUACUAGCCGAAUGUUGCCUUUAAUAUUAUGAAUUAACAAAAUUAUUGAUCAUUACAUUCGUCAUCAAAUCCAGGCUUUAGGAUGGCUUACAGACCAUCGGUAAUUGCAUCUAUCUUUUUCCUAUGAGAUGGAAAAUAGUACAAUAAUUAAAAUUACUGUGCAAAAUUAACGUUAAUAGUGAAUAAAGCUGCUCACAGAUAUGGGGAAAGCUGUAAAUAACUACAGAACCAUGUUGUGUAACACAUCCACAUUCUAUCAAAACAAAACUGCUCUCAAUUGACAAAUUGAUAAAAUCAAAAGGUAAAGAGCUUGGGUGAUUUAAGCUAUUGACUAACAGGCGUUCUUAAUCGGAGAUGAGUUACAACUCAUCUUUCUGUAAUUAGAAAUUUAGGAGAUUAGAGAAAAGUAAUGAGGAAAAACAAUAUUGUGAAAUGGGUGGAACAUGUUGAGAUAAUUUUGGGUAAUAAUUAAUAAAGCUCAAAAUAGAAAAUAAGCAACAAAAUGUUUUUUAUUAUUAUUUUAAUAUUUUAUUGUUUUGGCUCCUCUAAAGUUUUUUCAUUACGACAAAAUUUUCUUUUAAGAAGAAAGAAUGGAAGAAUUUCUAAAAAGACGGUAUAUAGGUUCAAUGAUACUUUUGAAAGUCAAAAUUGAAGUCAGGCACUUAAAAUUGUAGAUUUUGAAAUAUCUGAAGAUUAGAUAUCAAAAUUCAUUAUAGUUAAAUUUGAUUGAUAUACAUCUUCCAUUAACAUAUAGCAUGGCACGCUGGGAUCCGGAGAAAUAUGCACAAACUAGUCUAAUAUCUUUCACUUGCUAAGCAAAAUUACAAAACCAUUUUCAAUGGCCAUAAAAUACAGCUAAUAUUAUUUGGCUCACACAUUCAUCUUAUACAUUUCACAUAAUAAAUUAAAAUGCAAGUAAAAUAUCAUCAGAGUUGAUGAUCGUUAUCAGGCGAGACAGGAGUGGCAAGUAAGCACAAAUCAUUUUUCCUUGAGACAAUGGCUCCAAAAGCCUCACUCAUGUCAAGAUCCUGCGAUGCAAUUCCACCAGGGAGUUCCCAUUCAAAAUUAUAGAGAAGCUGAGCGAGAGGCAGCUCAAUGUUAGCUAGACCAAAUGCUAUGCCUGGACACAUCCUCCGUCCUGCCCCGAAUGGAAUAAAUUCAAAGUCAUUUCCCUUGAAAUCGAUCGAAUUGUUGCCUCCGUUACCAUUAAAUCUCUCAGGUACAAAAUUCUCAGCUUCAUUCCAGUACUUAAAAUCUCUUCCAAUAGCCCAUGCAUUUACUACAACUCUGGUCUUUACAGGAAUUUCAUAGCCUUUUAUCUCGCAUGCCUCCCUGGUCUGUCGUGGAACUAAGAGUGGAUUUGGUGGGUGCAAUCUUAGAGUUUCUUUGAUGAUCAUUUUCAAGUAAUUUAGUUCCUGAAUAUCUGCCUCCGAAAUAUUUUUAUUUCCCUUGAGUGCUUCUCUUACUUCAGCCUGUGCCUUCUUCAUCACUCCAGGGUUUCUCAUCAACUCUGACAUUACCCAUACUGUCGUUGUGGCAGCAGAUUCUGUUCCCCCAGAAAAUAUGUUCUAGAAAUUAAAAAUAUUGGAUGUUAAAUAAUUUUGUUUAAUAAAUUAAAACCUAAAAUGAAAAGUUAUAGGAAAAAUGACAGAUGAUUUGACAAAACGGUAAUAGAAACCCUUAAUUUUUUAACGGCAAUCACAUGUGAACUCCUUCUUUAGCAAUUAUGCAUAAAUGGAAUACAAUUACGUAACUAGUGCGUAGUCAAAUGGUAUAUUGUUAUUAAAGGGGUUUAUGUUACCAUUUUAAAAAUAAAGGACAUCUCUAACUAUUUUUUUUUUGUUUUUUAUAAAAUGGUAGAAUAGUAGGAAAAAUCUAAAUUGAACUUUUAAACCCUACUCUCAGGAUUUGAACUCGGCAAUUAGUUAAAGAAAACUACUUGAACACCACUUAGUUAAAGCCCUGGAGGCAUAAAUAGUGAUUCAAUUAAGAAAAAAUGAAGUCAUUUAUUUAUAUGCUGAUUUUUAUUUAAGAAAACAAACUUAUAUAUACUAACCCAAAUAAUAGAUUUGAUGUUUUUGGUAGUAAUAGGAAACCCCAAACUGCUGGUCUCUUGAAGCCUUAAGAGCACAUCAACUAAAUUUUCUUCUCCAGAAGCAGAAGCAGUAGCAGUAAUUUUCUCCAAUUUCAUGCUCUCCCUACGCUGGUUGAUUAGAUUAUCUAGGAUCUUGUCUGCUUUACCAUGAAGCUUCAAUAUCUUAGCUUCCAUCCCGCUAAAAAAAUGAAUAAAUUUUAGCGAAGGAAACACUUCUACCAAAGAAAAACCUCCAGCCAGUUUGCAUAUUUCUUUGUCUAGUGAUACAAACUCAUCUUGUUGCUCAAAUCUGCUCCCGAAUGCAGCCCUGAAAGUCACUGUGCUUGUGAACGAAACCAUCAUUUUAGAGAGAUUAAUUGGUUGAGAAUUUGAAGUUGCAGACGCGGAGCGAAUGGAUUCAAUUAGAUUCAAUGUCUCAUCUUCACGAAUAUGAGCAAAUGACUUGACUCUUUUGUUACUUAGCAGCUCCAAAGCGCACAGUUUUCUCAUCUGCCUCCAAUAAUCACCAAUAGGUGCUGACACAAUAGGCAUGCCAGUUUUCUCGUACAAAACCUUGAAGGCUAGAAAUUCUGGCCUAUCCGCGAAGGCCAGAUCAUGUGUCUUCAUAACCUCUUUGGCUAACUCCGCAGAAGAGAUUACAACCAUCGAUAUUUCUCCCAAUUGAAGUUUAAUUAUAGGCCCAUGUUUUCUAGCUAUUUCUUUGAGAACAUGGUGUGGCUGCGAGCCUAUCAUGUUGUGCAAGUUGCCGAUAAGAGGAAGUUUCAGUGGCCCAGGGAGGGAUUUCGUAUUAGGGUUUUGGGAUUGGAAUACUAGUUUGAAGAAGAAGAUUAGACAGAUGACAGAAAAGGAUAGACUGAAAAGAAACUGGAGCUCCAUCGCGUGGAGAAAAAGAGAAAAAGAGAAAAAGAGAGGAGAAAUUAUCUUUCUAGGAUGUAUGUAAGCUAAAUUUUCUUGAUCUCUUCUUAUCAAAUAUCGUAUUCAAACUCAAAAAUUGAAGUUUAUGUAUUGGAAAAUGACAUCUAAACUCCCAAAAUUUGCCCAAAUAUAGAAACAAGAGACGGUUAAUUGCUAUGAUUUCAAAAAUAAACAUAUAGAUCCCUGUUCAUCUUUUCACUAUAACUCCUUUUCUUAUAGCUACAUGUCGAAAAUGAUAGAAGAGUUGAAAUUGGGCCAUGGACUAUAAAACUUGCCGGAAUAUAUAUAAGCUAAAUUAAUUUUAUUGAUCUCGUAUUGUAUUUGACAUUAGACGGCGACGUCAAGUUUCAAUGGUAAAAAGUGGUCACUCAAAGACUCAUGUUUUAGGUUCGAGCCUCACUAAUGUGUGUGAGUUAAUUAAAUAAAAAAAUAUAAAUUGUAAAAAUGAAAGUUGAUGCACCGCGAAAAAGACAUCUAAACUCCCUAUAAGAUUUACUCAAAUAUACAAAUAAAAUAUACAAAUUGUACUUGACACAUAAAAUGAAAGUUGAUGCACCGCGAAAAAAAAAUCUAAACUCUCUAUAAAAUUUACUCAAUUAUACAAAUAAGAAAUACUAUUUUAAAGACAACUAUUUUUUUUUACUAUUAUACGCUUUUAUUAUACAAACCCCUGAAAUUGAUUUUAAAAUUUCAUAAAAAUUUAACGUACAUAUAAUUAAAUUUUAUAGUAAUUUUAUUUACUAUAAAAAUCUAAAGUCAGUCUUUGGCGAACAAAUCCUAAUAUUGAAUAAAAUUAUUUAUUUAGGGAUACUUUUGGAUUGUUGCUGCUUAUGAAAUAAUCCACUUCUGCAGUGCUGAUGAGAUAACAAAUAAGAUAAAAAGAAGUUAAAUAUUUGUUCAACUAAAUUACUGAGAGUGUUAUGAAUUUCAAAAAUAGAUUAUCUGUCCCACUCCCACAAGUUUAAUAGAGUUUUUCAGUCCCACCUUGACUCAUUGAAAAUUGAUACACUUUGUUAAUUACAAUGGUUCAAUGCAUACGCAUGUGAAAACAACAUGAUCAUUUGACUUCCACAGAAACAUACAAAGGAAGCUUCCGUUUGAUUGAAAUGAAUCAACGAUUAUUUUAUCCGAAUUUUAUGAUAACAAAUAUACAGUAAUAAUUGAUGGUUAAUGAUAAAGGAAAAUGAGUAUACACUGUUGGGAUCAUCUAAAGACACGCACAAGACUUUUUUACCAGAAAUGAUCGAUCUGUCCUUCAUUUUCCCUUCUGAUUAAUUUUUCAAAAGUCCAAGAGUUUCAUAUUAUAAUCUUCCAAUUUUAAUUUGAAAUUUAUCAAUUAAGCUAUUAAAAUAAGUCAAUUAAAAAAGUCCCAACCUUUUGAAGGGACGUUCAAAUCAAACAUUUAUGGUUGAAUUAAGUUUAAUGGUUCAAGUAACAUUUUUUUUUUCUCUCUUAGAGGCUUGGUUGAAUGGUUUUCAAAUAACUUUAUUUAGAGAACUUCUAUAAAACAUUAGAAAUAAUACAAAUAAUUAAUGUAUGUAUGAAACGUGUAGUUGAAUUUUAUAUAACCACCAAUUGCGUUCUGGUUCUUCAAACUAAAUACACAUAUGUCAUAAUAUUAUUUAUUUGUUGUUUGGCUAAUAUGAUACCUCGGAAUAUUCUAGAAUUUCUCAUUUAUUUGACUGGUCACCUGAAAGAGACAAGGGGAUAAAAAUUCAUUUGGACUUUACUCAUCCCUAAACUUUAUUUAAAAAAUAAAAGUCCAGUUGUUCAAGCAGCAAUUUCACUGUGUUGUAUAUUAGAAAAUUUCAAAGGGAGAAAGAUAAAUAUUUAUGUUUCUCACGUUUGCACUUAGGUCCCUAAUUUUUUUAAUUCUCGGUACAACCCCAAUGUUAGAAAAUGUAAUAAUUAAAAAAAAAGUUUUUUUUUAAUUCUUUUUCUAUUAUAACAUUGUUGUCAAUCAAAUAUAUAAUUUGCAUGCUAUUGAGUUAUUGGUCUUUUUCUAUUAUAACCUUAGUGGCACUGAAGACGAUGAUGUUGCUUGAAAUAUAUAGAAGUUAACGAGUAUUGACUUUAAUUGAUUUAUUUCUAGUUGUAAGUUGAUGGUUUUGUCCAUGUUAACAACUCAUAUAUUUUAAAUGAGAAUUUUCAAAUUAAAAAAGUACAUAAGUUUCGUAUAUAUAAUUAAAAAAUAAUAGGGUUAUAUUCAUAGUAUGAUGAUAAAUUAUUUGAAUUAUAAAUAUAUGUUGUCUUUUUUUUUUCUUUUUUGACAAGUAAAUGGAUUUUCUUAAGACUUAAAGACCAAGAGUUUACUAUUGUAGUAUGGUAGGCAUUAUGGUAGUAAUAAUUUGAGGGGGAAAUUUUAUUAGAUAGAGUAAGCCUAUUGCUUGAUAGACUAAAGUAACAAGCAUUGGCCUUAAUUCUGGUCAUUGUUCAUAUUUCCUAACUACAUUUGUAGCAUUACUUAUAAUUAGUUUAAGCUUAUUUAUUAUUAUUGAAUAAAAUUAACUAGUAUAUUUAGUGCAAGCACCAAUAAUUUGUUGUUAUUUUCUUUUUUGAAUGACAUUAUACUCUACUGCUAUUUACAAUUAGAAUCCUAUUAAAAUCUUGUCAACCAACUCUAUGAUGGUAGAGCUUAGCUAUAUGGUCCCAAACUCAUUGGAUCUACUUUUAAAUUUUUUGAAGAAAAUCAACCUACUACGUAAAUGAGAGGACUCCAACCCUCAACCUCAAGAGUGAAGUAAGGUGAUUCCCACUUGUCAACCAUAAGAUAAUUUACAAAUUUAUCAGUGCGUAGUACUUCUCAUACAAGAUUUCUUGCUUUAUUAGUUUACGGAAGAUACAUUAAAAAUGCUUUUCUUCUGAAUAAGUUUUGGUGCCGUUUGCAUAUUUUGUUGGCAGUUAUCGUAAAAGCUCUAAUCUCGACCGUCGAGUUCCAUAUUUCGUAUACUCACUUCAAAACUAAUAAAUUCUGUAAACAAGUCACCAUAGAGUAAUUGUCAUGCCGCUAGCAUUGUCCUGCAAAUUUCCAAUAAUAGCAUCAUAACCCGUAAGCGUGAUUUCAAAGAAUAUUUACAACGUCUUAAAGACUUAAACUAGCAAAACAAAAAGCGCUUGAUGAUUCCUGCAAACAUCAAUCGAACGAGAAUUUGUUUUUAAAUAAAGAGAAUCAAAUAAGACUUAGGAAGAGAGAAAUAGGUGGCAUUAGAUGUUUUGUUUGAAUUCUAAAUAGAACUAAAUGUCUGAAUUCUGAAUUGAACUAAAUGUCUAAAUUUGAAUGAUAUGUUUGUUUUCUUAUCUGAAUUGCUAAAAAUAAAUAUUAAACUGUUUAUUUUUUCAACUUAAAAAAUUUAAAAACUAGUAUUUUUACAUUUAUGUCCUUACAAAUUAUAAUGUAAAGAUAAUACAUUAUCAAUAUAUAAAUUAUGCUUAAUUUAUAGAACCUUUUAUAUUCUAAAAUAGUAUAUGUUAAUUAAUUUUAUCACGGUUUAUGAUCUUUUCAUAUGAAAAAUAUUUAUAAAAAAUUAUGAAGAUAAAUAAAGCUAAUUUGAAGAAAAUAAAAGGAUAAAUAAUAAUAGUCAACUACUAUAUUAUCACAAGUUAAAUUUUAUUUAGAUAAUGAUAAAAAUUAAUUAAUUAGAUAGGUAUUUUUUGAGAAUAUCUUUCAGUGAGAUCAUUUAGAGUUUUAAGAUUAAGAAAACAACUAAAAAAAAUAUUUUAAUAAUUUAAUGACUUAACGACUGAAAAUUUUCAUUAAGUUAAAAUACAAAUAGACUUAAUGGAUUAACUGACUGUACGUCAAUUAUAUCAUUAAGUCAAAAAGCAACCCCCAUAAUUAGCAUUGCUUCUUGAAGAAUUAUACAACGAAGAAUAUAAGACAAAAUGGACAUGAAAAGGGGACCAAAUUAGUAGAUUUUGGACACAUCACGCAUGGAAGCUAUUGAUGAAAAUAAUCAGACAAUGAUAGCAACAAAAUUAUAAAUCAAAAUAAUUGAUUAUUAUCUCUAUCUUUUUAAAUCAUUAUAAAUAUUGAUUAAUUAUCAUCAACAUUGAUUGACUCAAUCUUAAAAUAUGAAUCAAAUUACCAAGUAUCAUAUCAACUGUAUAAUUUUUAGUUUUAUUUUUUAAAAAUUAUAUAAAUUCAUAUUAUAAUCCAGUACUUAAUAGAACUUUUACUCAGUUUUUAAGGAUAUAUUUACAUCUGUCAUAUUUUGCAAUUAAUGGUUAUUGUUUGGGGUCUAGCUACUAUCCAACCGUGAUUUGGUACUCCAUUUUUUGUCUUUUUGUGAUCCAACCAUUAGAUUCAACCCAAGAGUUGCAAAAGCUAUUGUAAGGAUUUAAUUACUUGGUCAUUAAUGUUGCGGCCCCUCAUUUUUCUAAAAAUUAUAAGGAAAGGUUAGUUUUCAAAAUUUUUUCACAUAAGUCCAUUAAAAGGUUUUAUUAUCUUUAAAAGGAUCAAUGGCAACUUAGUAAAUAAACAUAAUUAAUUAUUAAAAAUAUAGAUGGAUUAUUUUAAGUUGCUAUAAUACUCUCCACAUCCAUUUACUUAAAAUACAAAUUGGAUUACAAUAUUGUUCUCUUGUGUUUAGUUUAAUGCAUGAUUGGACAAAGUUUUAUAUAAGUUUUGACAAUAUUAAAAUUAAAAAUAAAUAAAUAUUAAAUAAGUACUUGAACGGUAAUUUAAGUUUUAUUAUAGAGUUUAUAAAUGCUAUUUUCAAAAUAAUAGAUUUCUAUAUGCAACUUUGAAAUUAUGUAAAAUUACUCAUACCUCAUCACAUAUAUGGAGCUGAGAUAAUAUUUAGAAAAAUAUAAUCUCAAUUAUUUACUUAACAUGAAAAUGAAUAAAUUGUAUAAUAUUUAUUCUAUUACAUAAAAUUAAAGUUGUGAAGAAUGAAACUUAAAUUUAAAAUUGUAAAAUGAAUAAUAACUUAAAUUAAUGGAUUAUGAGAGAAUUAUCUUUCAAAAAUAAUUUUAAGAUUAAUUAGCUUUUAAGGCUUCUAACGUAAUCUUUUUUAUCUCGUGUUGUUAACAUAAAAUAAAAAUUUUGCUGUAAAAAAUUAUCCUAAACAUCUCUUUAAGGUGAAAAUAUCAUUAUCACAUGAUAAUUUAGUAGGUCCAAGCUGUGUUAUUCUUAGUUUACUUAUUUAUGCUAAACACCAUAUUAUGAUUAAAUUUUAGUAAAAUAAAUCCAUCCCACCAUCUUUAACUUCAUUGAGCAGGUUUUAAUUGUCUAUAUCUUAUUAUAGAAAGUAAGACAGCUCCUUUCUUAUUAUAUUGGUAAAGAAGAAAAGAUAAACACAAUAGAUGUUUUUUAAGAGAAUGCAAGCAUUAUUUUUAUGAGGUUUUGUUGUUUAAGAAAUUAAUCUAAUUUAUGUGAUUAAAAAAUCUCUUUAUUCUUUUAUAUUUUAGAAGAAUUAUAUGUUUGAAAAUGAAUAAAUUAAGAUCUAAAGGAGGAUGAAUUGAUUGAGAAGGAGAUAGAGAUAAUAAUUUUUUUAAAGAAUUUUAAAAUUAUUAUAUUUUAAUUAGGGCUUAUUAUAUAAAAUUAUUGAAACUUAUAAUUUUUAUUAUUUAUAAAAAAUAGCAGCUACUGAUGAAGAAAAUGUCGAAUUAAUUUUUUUGAAUUUUAAAAUUAUUAUAUUUUAAUUGGAGUUUACUGUGUAAGAUUUUUAAACUUAUAAUUUUUACUAUUUAUAAAAACAAUAAGACUGUUAAAGAAAAUGUCAAAAUUGAGUGUAUGGUACAAUUGAGGCAACAUAGGUUUGUCCGUUUGGUUUGUUUCGUUUUUUAACUUUUUAGUUUGUUACCUUUGCCAAAAACGCCUCGUUUUGGAAUGAAUCUUUGACUCCAAAAAGGCAAAAGAUCCUGCUUUUCUUUCAGAAGAGACCGCGUGUUUGCUUUCUGCCUCGGCUCUUCCUUCUUCAUCUUACGCACUUGACUUCCAUCAUCAUCAUCAUAUCAAUUGAAGAAAUUUCAACAAUCGAAAAAUUCAGUUUGAUUUUUUUUUCAGGUUUUGUUAUUAAUUAAUAUUCUGUUUAUUAAUACUGUAAAUUCUGUCUCUAUGUUUAUGGAAAUCAAUCGGAGUGAAUUUCAUUAGUUUAUGCAUUUCAUCAACGGAUUACUCCAGACAAAUAAUUUGAUUUUGUAGUAAUGGACAUGGUGUGUUGUUUUUAUCUCUUUAGAGCUAAUGCCAUGUCAUAAAUAGAAUUCUCACAAAAAAAAUCAGGUGUAGAUUGAAGAUAGGCAUUUAAAAUUUAGAUUUUGAAAUAUCUGAAUAUUAGAUAUCAAAAAUUAAUUAUCAUUAAUGGCAUAUAUUAUUAAGCAGUAACCUAUGCAAAACAACAUCAUCUUAUUUGUUAUGAGCCAUGGGAUAGAGUAAUGAAUUUGGCCGAAUGGACCAAUCACAUUACUCCGAGAUGAGCAAUAUAGUAAUUAAAUUAAUAUUAUAAAAUACUAUUUGCUUAAAGGAAUUUAGAUGGGGGUGAGAAAUCUCACCUCUAAAUACCAACCUUUCUUCCUAUUAUUAUUUUAAUCAAACGAUGGAUGGUAGCUGAGAUUUUGAUACAACUUUGCAUGUGACACGUCGUUCGCAACGUGCUGUCAAGAGGAACCCAUGCAAGAGGUCACGUUUGCAUACAAGCAUGCAACGGCCACUUAGCCAAAGAUGAAGCCGCGUUUGCAUGCAUGCAUGGAGUCACGUUUGCAUGCAAGCAUGCAAUGCCGACUUAGCUAAGUUCUUGUUCCAUUAUGGCCAAGCAAUCGGGAGUGAUAAUAACCACGUGCAGGAACGUCUCAUGGUUUAUGUUGUUUUUUUCUUUCCUUCAUGGACCAUUAAUUUCGGCAAUAGUUACUAAGUUGGGUGAAUGAUUUGUAUUUAUAUUCUUUGAAAUAAAUUAAAGAAAUAUAUCAAAUAUUUUCAAUGAAUUUUCAGUAUGGUUUUUUUUCAUCCUAAGAGAAUAUUUUUGCUAUCCUUUGCUAUCGUUAACGAACCUUUAACUGGGACCUAUCAGAUUCCAAUGUUUCGACUGCAAAAACUGCUCUAAUUGAAGCUUGCAUUGUCAAAUUUUUUAAUUAUAGAAGAUAUAUCUUUGACUUUUAAGUUUUAUUCUUAGCCAGUGUCAACAUAUACUUGCUUUGAAUAAAAGAGCUGUUAAUUUUUUUAAUUAUAUUUCUUCUCUCUUGUUUUUUUGGGAUUUUUCCGAUUAAUUUCUUACUAUGUUAAAAGAAAUAACGUUUCUAAGAUAUUAAUAUGGAACAGGAAUUCCUGAAUAAUUUCUCUGUGAAACGCUAAUUUUUCUAUUUAUUUUAUUACUUAUAAAGUGAGGAGAUGAGUAAAGCAUAAAUUGAUUUUUUUGGUCCUCUACCUAAUCAAAAUUGAAUAUAAAAAAUCUUUGAAGCCUCUACGUAUAUAUUUAUGUCCUUGUAUGCAUAUAUAAUUCAAAUUUCAACAAAAGUAUCAAAAGUUAUUUUUACGGUUUUUUUGUUUAAUUUCACAUCCCAUCCUAUACAUAAAUAAUAAUUAAAUAAUUUGCUUUUCCAAGGUUGGUGCGAGGGGAAAAUGAUCCUCUUCCUGUGACCUUUGUUCUCACUAUAAGGGGGCAAACCAACCCGACUUAUCCCCUGAAAGAUACAAAGUUAUUUUUUGCUAAUUAAUAUUCUUGUGACAUUAAAAUAAAAAAUAACUAAUACAUUUAUGGACUAAUCUUAAAUAUUAUGUUACUUUCAUAGAAUAUAUAAGUGUUGUGCAAAUUUUAAUAAACUAAAUAUAUAUGCGCAGCUUUGGGGUUCAUUGAAUUCGCCAAUGGAUUUUAUUUUAUUUUAUUCAUUAAUUUCCCUUCUUUCCAUAUACUAAAUAUAUGCUCUUAUAUAAUAAGUAACAAGAAUUAUUAAAAUUUGAUAUAUCUCAAUCUGAUCUUUUUGUUACCGCCAUAUUCAGACUUCAACGCAAGGGGGAGAAUUUUUUUAUUAUUGUCUAUUAUUGAAAUUAUUUAUUUUGGAGCCCCGUCAUUCCCGAUAAUAUUAUGUAUUAUCCAUAUUUCUAAUCACCUUCUUUUGUUGAUUUCUAUCUUUUUAGCCAAUUUGUUUUUAUUUUCUUUACUAUCUUGGAGUUUCAAUCUUAUCGCGAGUAAUUAUGCAAGAAACUUCGCUUGUUUGUUAAACAUUUGGAAUCUGAAAUUUUAUUAAUUUCGGGCCUUUUUCAAGUUUUGCUUUUUUUUUUUUGUAAAUUAUGUUUGAUUUUUAGAAAUUUACAUCAGAAUAGAAAAAAUAUAACUUUGUUGACUUUUAUCUAAAUGAAAAAAGGCGUGAAUAAGAAAUAAAUAUUAUAUUCCAAAAAUAUUUCUAAAAAUAUACUUAUUUGCUGAAUUAUAAGAUUUUUUCUAAUUUACAAGGAAAGAAAUGUCAAAUAAUCAUGUUUAAUAUGUUUUUUAUUUAUAAAAACAAGCAAAAUGUCACUUAUAUUCAAAUAUUAAAAAUAAAAAAUAAAUACGUCAUUUAGAUAUUUGUAUUCAUGCUCAUUCAAAUUUCAAAAAAAAAAUUAAAUUCAUUUAAAUCUAAUAAAAAAACCUAUCUUAUAAUAAAUAUGAUGGAUUAGGCAGCACACACAGUAUGCCACUCAACACUCACUUUGGUGAAUAAUUUCUCAAAGCCAGCAAAAGAUGGUAGUGAUUCUCAAAAACAUUUUGCGACCAACUGCUUCCAAAUUAGUCACUAAUAAUGUCCAAAUCAUCACAAAAAGAAGUAUCAAAAGUGUCGCUUUUGAUGUUCAAAUCAUUUCCGCCGAAAGAGUCAAAUCUUCAUUUCCAACGGAAAAACAUCUUCGAACCUAUAAACUUUCAUUGAUUGAUCAAAUUUAUUCUGAUGUUUACAUUUCCCUAGUUUUCUUCUACUCGGCCAAUUGUAACCACCAAGAUUUCAGGAAAAAAAACCUGAUUUGUUGAAGCAAUCUCUCCCAAAAAUCAUUAACCCACUAUUACCGUUUUGCUGGAAGAUUGAUUGAUAGUUUUUCAGUCGAUUGUAAUGACCAAAGGGCUGCAUUUAUUGAAGCUAAUGUUGGCUGUGUGUUGAAAAGUAAGCUUGUUGGGCACCGAAUUCGGUGCCUACCAAAGCUAAAUUUUCAAGUACAUAAUUUAUCCAAUUCAUCAAUUGGACAAGUUUUUUCAAUGCCUCAAUUUGGCUGGCUGGUGCAAAAUGAUCUCUAUAAAUAGAGAAGCAUUUUGCACUUGUUAGCGUCCCACAUUUUUUAAAACAAUUUUAAGUGAAGUAAUUUGAGAGAUUUGAGAGAGCUUUUACUUGAGUAUUUUAGUAAAAAUACAAUUGGUUGUUUUGUCGUUUUGGUUUUUUGAGUUUUUGGGUUUUGAGAGUUUUUCUUACUUUUGUAAAUUCUCAUUUAUUAGUGAAAUUAUCUUCAAGUCUUUGUCUAUAGACAUAGACGUUUAUGCCAAACCAUGUAAAUUAUUGUGUCUUAUUUUCUUUGCAUUUAUUUAUCACUACAAUUAUAUUUAUCCACAAUUCGCGACCACCAUAAUAUUAGUAACUACUCAACCCGCGCUUCUGUAACAAUUGAUAUCAGAGCAGAUGGUCCCUACUUGGGGUAAAUGACAUUGUUCACAUCUACAAUAUUGUUCAUGUAUAUGGUAUUGCUCAUGAAUACGGUGGACCUAACAGUCCGUACUUGGGAGUAUCAGAAGCCUACAAUGUAGUUGUGUGGAUAAAUGCAUGUCUGAGAAAGUUUUGUCAACAAGACAAUAAGAGUCUAAAGAGUAUGGAUUUCAAGUGGGACCGUUGAGACCCUCCAUUCUCCUGAGAACUUUCUUGGUGCAUUAUCUAUAUAAAUAGACACGUAGACAUUGUUCGUUCAAGUUAGGUAAUUAAAAAAAAGGGAUGGUAGAGGCAUCAUCUUCAUCUUUCUCAACAAAGACUACUGUGACUUCAAAUUUCGACCGUACUAAUAAUUUUGGUAUGUGGUAAUGUGAGGUGUUGGAUGUCUUAUAUCAAUAAGAGUUGUGUUAACAUGAAUAUGUUAAUAAUAUUGAUUUUGAUGAUAACAAACUUUAAAUGGUUUUUUAUAAAAUGUUGGAGCUAUUUCUUAAAUAAACGAAAGCCUUAUAAUCAUUCCAAUUAUAUUCAUAAAAGAUGGACUUUCAAAUUAGAAAAUGAUUCUCUGCAAAAUUUGGUUUAAAAUGUGAUUCUGAAAAUAAACGGUGAACCGUUUUAUUUUAAACGGUUAACCGAUUAAAACCAGAGAGCAACAUAUUGCCUAAGCUCUAACCGAUUAAGCAAAACGGAAAACGCAAAAAGUUGGGAAGGCUACUAGAAUUUAACGGUGAACCGUUUAUUUAAACGGUUAAUCGAUAAAAUCCAAAAUUGAAGAUUGUACUCAUCUGGCACCGAUUAACAAAACCGGAUAAGGCUAAUUUAUUUUGCAGGUUACUGGAAACAAACGGCGAACCGUUUAUUAAAAACGGUUAACCGAUAAUUUCCAGAGAGGUCAUUUCAUGAAAAUCCUUAACCAUUUAAUGUAAACGGAUAACUGAUGUUCAUCUUGCAGGUCUCUGGAAUUUAACGGCGAAAGGUUAACCCUAAACGGCAAACCGUUUAUUUAAAAAUUAGACCAACGGUAACAUUGACCAGAUGAAACGGUUAACCGUUAAUGCCUAACAGCGAACCGUUUUCGAGCAGACAGUCUAUAAUGGCUAGUUUUUUAGCUCCAGUUAUAAAUAAGCUCAUUCAAAAUCAAACAAGAUUGAUCACAACAUAACCAUUGAGCUUAUAUUCGAGAAUACAAUCUUCAUAGAGCUUUAAAACACAUUCUUGCUUCAUCUAUUCACACAUUGAGCAUUGAUUUGUAAUCUUAAAUAUUGUGUGAGAGAAAUUUUUUUUUUAAUCUUUUACUUUGAGUGAUUGUAAGUGUUGGGAUACACUUGGGUUAAGAGAUUGGGGAUAAUCUCUUGUUGUAAAGGUUCAUUGAUACCUUCGAAGUCAAGUGUAAGCAUUUGUAGCCUUGGAGGCUUGCUUAGUGAAAUCCUCAAGCCCAGAAAGCUUGGAGGCGUGGACGUAGGCGAGGUAGGCCGAACCACGUAAAAAUCUCCAUGUUUGAAUCUCUCUUCCCUUAUCUUUUUAUAUUGUAAUUGAUUUAAUUGUUAUUCCAUUAAAUUCAUUUUAGAUUUGCUUGAUAAUUUGUUUUAGAAUCAAAUAAUUUUUAGAAUCCAAAUUCACCCCCCUCUUGAGUUGCACACUUGUAUUUCAAGUUGGACCUCACUUUUGAAGAAAAACUUGACAAGAUAGAUGACAAGAAGUGGAUAAAGAUCAAUAGACAGGCAUAUGGCACUUCUCGCCUAUAUCUGGCUAAAGAUUAGAAAUACUCUAUUAUGAGGGGGAUAUCAGCAAAGAAAUUAUGGCAUAUGCUGGAAGAAAGGAACAUGAAGAAAAGCCUUGAAAAUAGGCUUUAAAUGAAGAAAAAACUCUAUUAAUUCACGUAUGCACCUGACAUGUUGAUAAAUGACCAUGUAAACUCAUUCAACAAGAUAUUGAUGGAUUUGCUAAAUUUGGAUGAGAAAUUUAAAGACAAAGAAAAGUCAUUGCUGCUGUUAAAUUCCAUUUCUAAUGAAUAUGAUCAUCUCACCACCAUCACUUUGCUUCAUGGGAAGAACAGUGUCACAAUAGAUAUUGUAUACAGUGCGUUGUAUAACUAUGAGACCAAAAAAAAGACAAAAAAGAUCACAACGAUACAGUUGUAGAGGCAUUGACAGCAAGAGAUCGUUCACAAAGUCGCAAACCUUCUAAAAGAAUAUAUGGCACGAAUUGGCAAAUGAUUCAACAAUUUCUAACUUCCUGAAAUUGUGAACUGAGAUCAAUCUGGGAUAAAUGAAAAUAUUGGCAAUAACGUCGUUUUACAUUGCACCUUUUUGUUUCCAUCGCACAGUUCAUUAAAGGAUCAGCAUAUAAAGCUACAAUUAACAUCUAACGUAGUGUUCAAAAGGUUGUUUUUCUGAUGGCAAGAAAAUAGCAGUUCUAAAAGAGAAGGUGAAAAAACAAAUAAUGACAGGCCGUUUUGAUCAUGAGUUACAAGCGUCACAAUUCAUGGUAUUUUCAUCACUCAUUUAGGGUGCUUUCAUCACUAUUGCUCGAGAAAAAAAAACAGCAAUUAAUAGCAAGUUGUACUCUCAUGCAGUGUAUUAAACUAUGAAUUUGCGAAGCAAACUGAAUCUACCAAUGAUUCCAUAAUGCAUAGGUAACAUUUUUCGGUUUGUAAAGGCAAAAUGGUCAAUAGCCGAGGAUGAUGACACAAAGUUAACAAGCUUAGUGAAAAAGUGAUCAAAGCAAAGAGAAAGGUAAGCAAUAUGAUGAAUAAUAUUGAAUACUUAGGUUUCAUGAAGGAUACAAAUAAAGCAUUGGAAGAUUCAAGGUCAUUUACUUUGACUAGUGUGGUUGCAUUGCUUUAUUAAGAAGCUGAUGUUGGUUGUGGGAAGCCUGUUUGGUUUAGUCUGUGGUUGAUGUCAUUACCUAACGCUGCCUUUUAUCAUACACAAUUGAUGGUGGAGUAGAAGCACGAAUGGUAUUAUAUGAGGAAGACAUGGACAAAUUUGGAAAAAAAAAAAACCUAGUAUCAUGGCUCAUGCUUUCUCUAAUCUAGCAUACUUAAAGGCUAAUUAAUCUUAUCCUUGAGUUCAUCUUGUGAAAUUAGGUUACUAAUUUCUAUUUUACUUGAAUUGUUUUAUAUGGUAUUCUAUUAUACAUUGUGAUAACGCAUCACCGUCAUAUCUUUCCUAAAGUUUAAUUUUACUGAAGGAAAAUCGAGAAAUGGAUUGUUCAAAUCAAAUAUUCAUUACUAGAGAUGGCCAAUGGGUCGAGCCAGUCAUCAAAGGAAGGCCCAUGUAUGCUCGUGCUCAUGUCAUGUUAUGUCGACUAUGUGUUUCGUACCAUCCCGUGUCGUACCUAAUUCAUUUUGCUUAGGCCUAGCCUGGCACACGUGUUGUGCCAUAGGCCAUAUCAUGUUGUGCCUAAGAAAAAAAAAACCUAAUGGAUUUUUUCCUUUUUUUAAUUUUUUAAGUAAAACUGGGCGAAAGAAUUGAGGCUUAGGAAAAACCAAACCGAACCAAUGGUUAUGUUUGGGUUCGGACCGAUUUUAAUUUUUAUAAAUAUCUGAAUAUCCAAUUUAUAAGAAAAAAACUGAAAUAUUGGUUCAAAUUUUGGUUCAUUCAGCUGAACUGGAUAACUGUAAUGUUUUUGUAAUUUUUCCAAAUCGUGAAAUGUGUGAAAUGUUAAUUGGCUAUGUAAAAUGAUUACAAUAGACAUGCCCACACAUGACUAUUAUUUUUAUUUGUAUUUACAACUUUAAGUUUAUUUAAAUGGAUCAUUGGAGUCUAGAUUUGUAUUCUUAAAUCUUAAUAUUUCAUAUUUUGUUAGUAGUAGUUAGUUAGACUGUAAUGAUAAGUGUGUUUUGAAUAUUUUGUAUUUAUUGUUAGUAUUCGUAAUGAAACUAUGAAGAACUGAUUACUGAGAAAAUUACUCCAUUAAUGAGGCCCAACGGACUAAGAAUUUAGAAAUUCAAAAUAGGCCCAAUAGGCCUAGGAUAAAAAAAACCAAACCCUGACCAAAUGAAUCGAUUCAUAUUCGAUUCUUUAUUGUAUUCGAUUUUUAAUCCGUUCUUUUUAUAAAAUAACCAAUUUUAAUAAGUUAUGCUCAAUCUCAAUCUGAGUCGAACUGUGCCCACCCCUAUUUUUAAGUGCGCAUGCCAAGUUGUCGAUGUACUUUUUUCAAGCCUAUAUACUUUUUUUGGGUCCAUGUACCUUUAUUCAAAUUUAAUAUAAUCGAAAAUUCAAAACUCAACUCCAUUUUCAAUAAUAAUAAACUAAUAAUAAUAAGAUAAUAUAAUAUUAAUUACUAAAUUUGACCUUAUGGUAUUAUAAUUCUUUUUUAAUACUUAACAACAACUAUAAUAAUAAAAUUUUCUUGAGUUAACUUAAAUGUUAACUUAGACUUAUAUAGAGUCAUACAUCAUAUUUCACAAUAAUAUUAAUACAUAUUUAUAAAAUCAUGAUAUUUAUAAUUUUAUUUAUUAAAAUCAUGAUAUCAAUUAUUUAUUUAAUAAAUUAUAAACACAAAUCAAUUAUAGUAUUUUUUUAAACUAAGAAUUAAAUGAAUUUAAAUGAUUCAAUUUUAAUUUAUUAGUAAAAUCAUAAAAUUUUAAAUUUACUUUCACUAAAAAGUGAAACGUGCUUAUUGUGGGCUUUUCACUUUAUUUAGAAUUAAGCCGACUUUCCUUCUAUGUACAAUUUUCUUUAUUAAUUAAAUUAAAUUAGUUGGAUUAAUAAUUAAAAAAUAAUCAUGUGAACCUAUUAAUUAAAAAAUCAUACAAUCGCUAUAUCGAUAGCGAUACAGAUACUUGUACAAACUUUUUAUUAGAGCUGACAAAAUUUGUCACGACUCGAUUAUCCGACACGAACACAACACAAAUAAAUGGGUAUGGGUCAUCAAAUUUAACACGAUUAUUAAAUGGGUUGGGUCCGGGUCAACGCAAUUUUUUUCUAUGUCGGGUUAGGGUUAAAGUUCUUGAUCUAUUUACCCAAUCAAUGACCCGACUAUAUUUUUUAUUUUAAAAUAAUUUGUAAGUUCUUGUUAUCAAAACUCAAAUAUUAGAGAUGAUUCUCUCUUUUAUUUUUAUUUUUAUUUUUUGAAAAGAUGAAUAUAAACACAAUAUUUUAUUUAUAAAAUUUUAUAUACAUUUAGAGCUUCAAUCAUGUAAUUAUGUAAAUGUGUAAAAUAUUGUUAGACAUGUAUGUAUGUGAGUAGUUUUCUAGUCCAAGAUCAUUAAGUGUGGGAAACAUUCGGGAAAAUUUUAAAACCGCGGGGUUUUAAAGGUUUAAAACUUAAAGCGCUUAAACCGCACGAUUUAUACAUUUUCCUGGACGUUCCCGCACUUUAAUAUUCCGGACUGGAACAUAUAUAUAUAUAUAUAUAUAUAGUAGUUUUCCAAUUAGGGAUCCCAAAUUUUAAUAAAGUCAGAGAUUAGCUAAAAGAUAAAAAAAUUUAGAUUUUAAUACACUACAUGACAAAAUACAAUGUAUUAGACUCUAUAUAUAUUUUUUCUUUUAGUUAAUCCCUGGCUUUAUUAAAGUCAGUGAUCCUUGAUUGGAAAACUAUUAUACAUAUAUAUAACUUUAAUAGUGUAAAUGUGUAAUAUUUUGGUAGAUAUUUAUAUUUUAUAAUAUCGAUAAAUUAUGUAUGUACGACAGUGUGUAAAUAUUUGAUAUAAAUUUUGUUUAAUAUAUAGAUAUUAAGCGGGUUAUUGGGUAAUCCGAUUAUUUUCCCGUGUUGGGUUUAGGUCUCAAUAUUUUGACAAGAUUAUUAAAUGGGUCGGAUUUAGAUCGAUCUAAAUUUGACACGACACGAAGUUGAUACGACACGAACACAACCCGAUAACCCGUUUUACCAGCUCUACUUUUUAUGUACGAAUAAACUAAUAUGGUAAUAAACAAUUAAGUGGAUAAUAAUAUAAAAUUGAUUUAUUAAAUGAAGUCGAUCCGUAUGAAUAUUAUCCAACAAUAAUAUAUCCCAUAUCUUUACCCACAAAUGUACAGAAUAGUCAGACUAGGAGCAGCGACCACACGCUGGUAGAUCGUGCCAGGCUAUAAAAUCUCAUCAGCUUCUCUACAUUAUAUGUAAAAAAUAAAAAUAAAAAUAAAAAAAAGAAGAGAGGGGGGAGAGAGAGAGAGAGAGAGAGAGAGAGAAUUGAUCCUUUGGUUGCAUAUAAUAUAUUUAGCAUUAAUCUGACACAACGGUACACAGUCGGCCUUCCUUAUAAUGUUAAUUUACAUUGUUUUUUGUUGACGUUAUUUCACCCGCAAGCUAUUUACGUUUGUCGUAUGUAUAUAUGACACGGAUUUCACAGACAAGAAGCCACUCACUUUUUGAUUUUCUGAAAGCACAAAGAUGUCAAUGAUUAUGAGAAGCAUUUUCCAAAAUAAACCAAUUUCCAAAACUGUCAUCAAUUUCCAAAUCAUCACCUCAAGAAGAAGACUCAAAACCGUCAGCUGCGCCAUGGACGAUGUUCAAAUCAUUUCCACCGAAGCUAUCAAGCCUUCGUCUCCAACUCCAAAACAUCUUAGAACCUAUGAACUUUCUAUGCUUGAUCAAAUGUUUUCUAAUUUAUACAUGCCCUUUGUUUUCUUCUACUCAGCCAAUAAGCACCAAGAUUUCAGGAAAAAUUCUGAUUUUCUGAAGCAAUCUCUGGCAAAAACAUUAACGCACUACUACCCGUUAGCUGGAAGAUUCGUUGAUAGCUUUUCAGUUGAAUGUAAUGAUCAUGGAGUUACGUUUAUUGAAGCUCAAGUUGGCUGUGAUAUGUCAAAGUUUCUUCAACCACCGAAUAUGGGUGUGAUGCAACAAUUAAUCCCACCAAGCCCACAAUCAUUGAGAUUAGAGGCUUCUGAAAGAGCGCUUUUGGCUGUUCAAGUAAAUUAUUUCAGUACCGGUGACGUGGCAAUUGGUAUCUGUAUAUGGCAUGGAUUGGCAGAUGGUUCAGCAAUCUCCAACUUCAUGAAAUUGUGGGCUGAGAUCAAUCGUGGAGUAAAUGAAAAUAUUUGCAAUAACGUCGUUUUAGAUUGCACCUCUUUGUUUCCUCCGCACAGUUCACUGAAGGAUCAGCACAUAAAGCCACAGUUAACAUCUAAAGUUGUGUUCAAAAGAUUGUUUUUUGAUGGCAAGAAGAUAGUGGCUCUAAAAGAGAAGGUGAACAAAGAAAUAAUGGUGGGCAGUUUUGAUCAUGAGUUACAAGCAUCGCGUUUCAUGGUUGUUUCAUCACUCAUUUGGGGUGCUUUCAUCGCUGUGGCUCAAGAAAGAAAGAGGGCAAUUAAUAACAAGUUGUACUCUCAUGCAAUGUAUUAUACUAUGAAUUUGCGGAGCAAGAUGAAUCCACCAAUGAUUCCACAGUGCAUGGGUAACAUUUUUCGGUUUGUAAGGGCAGAAUGGCCACUAGUCGGGGAUGAUGACAUAGAGGCAACAAGCUUAGUGAAAAAAGUGAUCAAAGCAAAGAGAAAUGUAAGCAAUGUGAUGAAUAAUAUUGAGUAUUUAGGUUUCAUGAAGGAUAUGAAUGAAGCAUGGGAAGACUCAAGAUCAUUAACUUUAACUAGUGUGGUUGGAUUGCGUUAUUAUGAAGCUGAUUUUGGUUGGGGGAAGCCUGUUUGGCUUAGUAUCGGGUCGGUGUCAUUACCUAAUGCUGCUCUUUUAUCAGAUACAAGUGAUGGUAAAGGAGUAGAAGCAUGGGUGGUAUUAUACGAGGAAGACAUGGACAAAUUUGAAAAAAAUCCUAGCAUCAUGGCUCAUGCUUCCUCUAAUCCUAGCAUACUUAUAGCAAAGUAGCAAAGUGACGAUAUUUAUCUUGUUUUGAAUUUAAAAGAGUGGUUAGUUAAUUGUAUUAUUUUCUCUUUGUUUCUUUAUGAUUUUAAUCUAUCUAUAUAUCUAUAUAAAGCUGGAAUUUGAGGAGGUGAUGUGGCAUCACCAUUUCUUAUCUUUGUAUAUUCUCUAUUAUCUAAUAAAUAGAGAAAUUUUCUUUUAGAUUUGACUUUUCAUCUUCUCAUAAUUAAUUUUAUUGUUAUUACACAAUAACAAUUAUGUAAAGAUUUUAAUGAGGCACAUUCUUUGUAAUGAACAUCCAAGGAGGAGUGUUAUGAAUUUAUUAAAAUAAAUGUAGAUAUUCAUAACAUAUAUCUCUUAGUCUCCCCACUAUUUCCCAUUAGCAACAUUUAGCUUUCCUAUAACUCACACUAUCUCACAAGGAAUUAUGAUCCAUAAUUUUUCAUUAAUUUCAUGGAGUGAUUAUGUAACUAUAAAAUAAGAGCUCAUCUUUUUGUUUUGCACACACACAAUUGGAAUGAAUAAAAUCACUCUAUAAUAUAUUCUCUCAUUUUAUUCUUUAUCUUGCGUUGCUUCUUUAUUUGUAUUGCUGGCUAAUAGCUUUUUUUUAUUUUUUAUAAGGCUGCCUCAUCUUUAAAAAAAAUCAAUUCAUAUUUUUUAUUAGUUUCAUCAAGUGUAAAGUAAAAAAAAAGAAUAAUACUAAAUUAUUUUUUCAAAGCCGCAUGAAACGCGGUUCUAUUUUUUAGUUAUGUUAUAAUGUUCACUCAAAUGCUACUGCAUGUAACUAGCUAAAUGGUUAUAUAAGCCUCCAAGUGAUGAUGAAUAAGGGACAUCAUUUAUCUUCAAUAUGAAUUUAGAUCUAUUGCUAAAUUUUUAAUAAAAUUAAGAUUUAAUUACAUAUUAUUUCUUAUUCAAUUUCUUAUUCAAUGAUUACCAAUCAUUGAAUCCAAAUCCUUUGUAUAUAAUCUCUAACAAUUGUGCUGUUUCAAGGUUAAUUAAAGUUUACAAUUUAUUAAGUGAUCAUGAAUACUGAUAUUUACGUACGAGAAUUUUUCAGUAUGGCGAUAAAAUCAAGGUUGACAGCGGUUACCAUCAUGAAAAAAUAUAUUAAAAUCAUAUGAAAUUUCGAUAGUUAAAAAUAAUUAAAAAAAAACGCUAAGAUCAUAUAAUUUUAUCACUGUUUUUGACACUCUUCUGAUACACUCUGGAUAAAUAUUUUUUCAUUGAUCAAUAAGAUCACCUAGCUACUAAUAUCUAUAAAAACAAUCAAACCGUUAUUUGCGUCCUCACACUUCUUAUUGUACUCUUCUUACACAAAAAGUCUGAAUGCAUGGGUUUUCAGCCUAUUUAUGAACAACAAUCAACCCAUUUCCCUCUCCCCUGUGCCUUUAAAAAGACAAUUGCUAUUUAUCCCCUCCUUCUGUCUCAUGAAUCCCCACUUUCAUUCACUUGUUAGAGAAAUUUGUAAAUGGGUAUAGAAAAAUAUCAAGAGGACGCAUAAAAUAAGUCACAUACCAUACAACAGAGAGAUACAACAAUUUAAAUGAUUUAUCUUGAAUUGGGCUGCAUAUUGAUAAUUAAUAAAUUAAUUUGAAAUUCUCUUAAAUAAAUAACAAAUAAAUAUAAUAAAUUACAAAUUGUUCUUUGUUAUUUUAAUUGACUUCACUAUAAUUUUUUUAAAAAGAAAUUACGAAGAAUUACAUAUUGAAGACCACAGGUCCAACUAUAUUAUUUGGAAGUUAAAAUUGAAGUUAAGAAGCAUUGCUCUUGCUAGCAAUGGCACAAUUCAUCAAGGGACUUUCUGUUCCAAUGAUUUUAUUUGAAAGUUGAAAUUGAAGCAAGCAUCUAAAAUUUUGAUUUUGAAAGCUCUAAAGAUUAGAAAUUAAGUUUCAUAAUCAUUAAUCUUUAAUAAUAUUGUCCUUUUCAAAAGAGCUCAAAAUUUUAUUUCAAAUUUCAUCUCAAAUAAUGUGGUAUAUAAUGUGUCAUUCAUUAAGUGAUUGAUGAUUUUUUUCUAAAAUCUAAGUGGACGAAUAGAUUAGUCACAUUAUCCUUAAAUGAUCAAUAUAGAUUAAUGAAAUAAUAUUAUAAAAAACUAUUUGCUUAAAGGUUGGGACGGGGAUAAGAAAUCACGCCUCACCCUCUAAAUACCAACCUUUGAAAGCUCUAAAGAUUAGAUAUUAAGUUUCAUAAUCAUUAAUCUUUAAUGAUAUUGUCCUUUUCAAAAGAGCUCAAAAUUUUAUUUCAAAUUUCAUCUCAAAUAAUGUGGUAUAUAAUGUGUCAUUCAUUAAGUGGUUGAUGAUUUUUUUUCUAAAAUCUAAGUGGACGAAUAGAUCAGUCACAUUAUCCUUAAAUGAUUAAUAUAGAUUAAUUAAAUAAUAUUAUAAAAAACUAUUUGCUUAAAGGUUGGGACGGGGAUAAGAAAUCACGUCUCACCCUCUAAAUACCAACCUUUCUCCCUAUUAUUAUUCGAAUUCUGGUGAUCACAUAUGCAAACCGUACUCACAACCAACCUAGCUAUGUCCGAUAGACUAAUUAAUCUUAUCCUUAAGCUCACCAUAUGAAAUUAGUUACGAAUUUCUAUUUAACUUGAAUUGUUUUAUAUGGUAUUCUAGCAUUCCUUACGACGGAGCAUCCCUACCAUAUCUUUUACUAAAAUUUAAAUUUAAUGGAGAAAAUUUGAGAAAUGAAUUCUUCAAAUAAAAAAUUUAUAACAUUAAACUUUUAAAUCCAAUAUAAAAACAAAUUCGUAGUCACAUAUUCUCCUCACAAAGCAAUGAAAAAAUUCUUGAGCUCUUUACUUGCUCCAUCUUUUCUCUAGAGUACACAAAAUUCUAGCAAAAAUUUACAAAAUAGUCAUGGUAUUAGAACUAUUAUCAUUUGCUCUACCAAAUUUCACUACAGAUAAGUGUGCCUUACUUGGAGCAAAAAUUGCAUUGAUCUCAAAAAAAAAAAAAACAAAAAAAAACAUUUCAAUGUUGCGAGAAGCAAUAAAUUUAUUAGAGAAAUCGUGCCAUUAUCGAAUUAGCGAUAUACCAGAUUUCACUUCCAUGGAAAGUCUAGAAAAUUUUUUAGUUGCCUGGUGCUCAUAUGCUAAUUGAUUCUCUUCACUGUCGUCCAGGCCAUUGGAAACGAAUCAAACGAUGGAUGGUGGGUGAAAUUCCAAUGUUUUGACUAAAAAAGCUGCUCUAAUGGAAGCUUGAAUUGUCGAACUUUUUUAAUAUAUUUGACUUCUAAGUUGUUUGCUGAGUACUUAGGAGUAUAAAUAACAAUCCAUUGGUUUUGAGUGAGAUGAAUAUAUUUUUUUGCUAGCAUCAACAUGUGCUUGUUUUGAAUGAAAGAGUUGUUAAUUCGUUAAUUAUAUUUCUUCUCUCUUGUUUCUUUUCCUGAUUUUUCCGAUUGAUUUCUUACAAUGUUAAACAAAAAUAACGUUUCUAUUAUAUUAAUAUGGACGUAGGACUUCUUAAAUAAUUUCUUUGUGAAACGUUAAUUUUUUUAAUUUAGUUUAUUACUUAUAAAGUUAGGAGUGAAUAAAGUAUAAAUUAAUUUUUUUCUCUCUACCUAACUCUGAAUUUGAAUAUAAAAAAUUUAUCCUCUCAUAUUUCAGCAAAAGUAUCAAAAGUUAAUUUUAUGACUUUUUUUGUUUAAUUUCACAUCUUAUCAUAUAUAUAAACACUAACUAAAUAAUUUUCUUUUCCAGGGUCGGGUUUGAAGGGAAAUUGAUCAUGUGACCUACUUUUUUUACUACAAGUGGCAAAACAACUCGACUUAUCCCCUAAGAGAUACGAGAGUUAUUUUCGUUGGUUAAUAUUCUUAUGACAUUAAAAAAAAUAACUAGUAUAUUUAUGGACAAAUCUUAAAUAUUUGUGUUACUUUACUAGAAUUUUAAGUGUUGUGAAAAUUUUAGUAAACAAGAUAUAUAUAUAUAUAUAUAUAUAUAUAUAUAUAUAAGGGAAUGGUUUUUUUAAUUAAUGUAAUAAUUUUUUACUUUAAAAAGUGAUAUUUUUUUUGUCUAAUCUAAUUAAAUAUGAGUAAUGAUAUAGUUAUAAAUUCUUAUAUAAAUUUAUUUUAUACAAAUUGAUGUGGCGUUAAUUCAUUGGUUUAAUUAAAUAUCUAUUGACCCAUAUGAUUUAUUUAUAUUAUUUUAUAUUUUUAUUCAAUCAAUGAAUUAAUACCAUAUUAAUUUAUAUAAGAUAAAUUUAUACAAAAAUUUAUGAUUAUAUCAUUACUCAUUAAAUAUUAUAAUAUUAACGGUGAAUUAACAUAGUAGAAAAGUAUUUAUCUAUUAAAUAAGGCAUACCACACAAGUGAAAUGAAAAUACCAUAAGCCAUAGGGGAGGUGAGCGAUAAAUUUCCGUUUCUUCUAGAAAGAAUAAAAAGACAAUGCAAGAAAAUUUACCCGAGCAGGGAGAUACGGUGAUUAUUUCAAUGUUAACAAAAUAAGGGAAGUCAAAAUUUUUAGCAGUUGAAAGUUUUGUAUAUGGUUUUUUAUUUUUAUUUUUCUUUAUGUUUUAAAGAUUAUUUCAGAGUUUAAAAAAAAAAAAAAAAGUAAUUAAUACGAAUCUAAAAGUUGUCGUUUUAUAAAUUUUUUAAAGAAAGUGUGCAGCGCGUUUUUUCAUGUUUUAUUAGUAGCUUUUUCCGCGAGAAUGUCAACCGAACACGUUUUUCCCAUCAAUAUUCCCCUAAAAAAGAAACGGCCCUCCAUUUUCCUGGAAAAAAACCAACACAAUUUUCCAGCCGUCCAAAGGGUUAGCGAGACUUGAAACGCACGGUUUCCACUCUCCCCCAAUUUUAUUCAAUCAUGACCUGAACAUCAAUACGUUAUUGAAAAGUAAUUAUCAUAAACUCAUCCUUUUAUUAAUGGAGUUUGAAUCUUAAAGACUUUUGAUAGAUUAUGCAAAAUGGAAAGAAAACGAAGUGGCGGACGAAUCAAAAUACUGAAAAUUGAUGAGGUAUGUAAUUUGAAUGCAUAUUAUGGGGCAUAAUAAUAAGGGUCAAACAAAGAACCAAAUCACCUUUAGUUUAUGGUAGUCAUGGUACGUCAAGAUCGAAAGCAACAUGAUAUAGGCAUCUUUAAUUAACAAAUAAAAUAUGACUAAAGUCGUCGUGGAGGUCUCUUGUUGGGUUAUUGCUAAGCAAAUCCGCAUGCAGAAGGUGCUGGGCCUGCUUAUUAAUUAAAUGAAAGGCGGAUUUAUCUCCCUGUUCAACAUGUUCUCGAGCUCUCAUUUGUCCUUGACUUCAUAAUCGCUUUAAACAAAGUAGAUGAUAAAAAGCUUAUUUCAUUUAUUCCGCAUUAAUACGCACCGUUUGAUCGGUCUAAAGCAUAGAAAGGUUGAUAAAAAAGAUGCCGAUUGGGUUACAUUAAACACGGUCAUUCCUAAACCAAUCCAAUGGAAGGAUGUCAAUCUUCCAGAGGAAUGGAUCCUUGAAGGAGCCGCUCCACCAGCGAUUCCGAAACAACUUGAGCCCAAUACAGAGUUGCAAAAUGUGACUCAGUAUACUCAGUAUUCCGAUGGUAAAGUGAAACUAUCAUUCAGGAGAUCUACCUCAUCUAGAUUUUUUGAUAAAGCGUCGUGCUCAAGCAUUCCUUCAUUAGAAAGGAAAUUUACAAAAAUACCCUCUGUUAUAAAUCUCCAUUUUCAGUCCAUAAAAAGUCAACCUAGGUUUUCUACUUCAGAUAUACCUAGUACCUCCAUUCGAUCAGUUGAUUACACCACUAGUGUUCCUCAUCCGAUUUACACUAGUAAUCAACAUGUACAAAGUCAGGAAGAGAAGGAACAUUCUCCUCCAACUUCCCCUACGUUUUCUGCUGUUACAGAAAAUGUCAUUAAUGUCAUUGAAAAAGAAUUUGAAUUAGAUAAAACUUUUCUGCAUAAUGAUUUUUAUUCUGAUUUAAACAAAGAAAAAAGACUUUGGUUUUUCAAACACUUUUUAAACCAAAGAAAAGAAAUCCAACAAACUUACUAUGAAUUUGUGAAUUUUCAUAAAAUUCAUAUAUUGUUUUUUGAUUGGUUUGAGAUAUAUUCUUCUGAUAACAACAUCUCUUAUCCUUUUAAAGAGUCAAACCCUAUUACUAUUAGGAAGAAAAUCCCUAAAUGGAAACUUCUUGAUAGUGAUAGAACUAUAGAGUCUGAACACCCACCUCUUCGGAGUGUAACCGUUGAUCACGGUGAACCUCCUGUCCAAAUUCGAGCUUCGCAUUACAAAAUUCCAAAAACAAAUGAUUCUGAGGCAAAUUUAAGUAGUAUUAUCCAACAGAAUAAUUUCUGUAAUACUAACUUAAAUACAAUCGGAAAGCAGUUGACUAGGAUAGAAAACCAAAUCCAGAAGUCAACUAUUACUGUUCCAUCAAUUUCUCCUAUUCCAACAAAAUCGGAUUCUGACAAAAAGCUUAAGGAACCUAUUUUCAAACCCCUUCAGGUUUCGAAAACUAGCCAAAAGCUUGUUCAAGAGUCAAAAUCAGAUUUUGCUAAAGCCAUUAGAGAACAAUUAGAUAGGAUAGAAGCUGCUUCUUCCUCAUCUAGCAAAGUUCAGAUAGCCCCUGAUACUCCUCAAUCUAGCAAGAUUGGAGUAUUAGAACAAGACCAAAUGUCUAUAGCCUCUUCUGAUAUAGAAGCCUUCAAAGAAGAACCUUCUACUCCUAAAGCCAACAAAAUUCAUUGGGAAUUAGCCCUUCCCACUGUCAAGACUCCACCGGAUCUAGCAAUAGAUAAUAGACCAAGUGCAUUAAAUCAAUCCCGAUAUAAUGCAUCUUCAGUCUAUGAGUGGAAUAUUGACAGUAUGUCUGAAUACAAUAUCCUAGGAUAUUGUAAUGGCGAAUGUUCUAAACCUCGCAAGAAACAUUACAAAUCUAAACAUUUUAGAAAACCCAUUCGUAAUUUUAGAGAACUUCCUUAUAAGAAACCUUCGAGGCCUUAUAAGAAACCCAAAUUCUCUAAAAGAAAAGAGUUUAGAGCCAAACCAAAGACCCCUUUCAAUUACAAAGAAGCUAUAUGCCAUAAAUGUGGNNNNNNNNNNNNNNNNNNNNNNNNNNNNNNNNNNNNNNNNNNNNNNNNNNNNNNNNNNNNNNNNNNNNNNNNNNNNNNNNNNNNNNNNNNNNNNNNNNNNNNNNNNNNNNNNNNNNNNNNNNNNNNNNNNNNNNNNNNNNNNNNNNNNNNNNNNNNNNNNNNNNNNNNNNNNNNNNNNNNNNNNNNNNNNNNNNNNNNNNNNNNNNNNNNNNNNNNNNNNNNNNNNNNNNNNNNNNNNNNNNNNNNNNNNNNNNNNNNNNNNNNNNNNNNNNNNNNNNNNNNNNNNNNNNNNNNNNNNNNNNNNNNNNNNNNNNNNNNNNNNNNNNNNNNNNNNNNNNNNNNNNNNNNNNNNNNNNNNNNNNNNNNNNNNNNNNNNNNNNNNNNNNNNNNNNNNNNNNNNNNNNNNNNNNNNNNNNNNNNNNNNNNNNNNNNNNNNNNNNNNNNNNNNNNNNNNNNNNNNNNNNNNNNNNNNNNNNNNNNNNNNNNNNNNNNNNNNNNNNNNNNNNNNNNNNNNNNNNNNNNNNNNNNNNNNNNNNNNNNNNNNNNNNNNNNNNNNNNNNNNNNNNNNNNNNNNNNNNNNNNNNNNNNNNNNNNNNNNNNNNNNNNNNNNNNNNNNNNNNNNNNNNNNNNNNNNNNNNNNNNNNNNNNNNNNNNNNNNNNNNNNNNNNNNNNNNNNNNNNNNNNNNNNNNNNNNNNNNNNNNNNNNNNNNNNNNNNNNNNNNNNNNNNNNNNNNNNNNNNNNNNNNNNNNNNNNNNNNNNNNNNNNNNNNNNNNNNNNNNNNNNNNNNNNNNNNNNNNNNNNNNNNNNNNNNNNNNNNNNNNNNNNNNNNNNNNNNNNNNNNNNNNNNNNNNNNNNNNNNNNNNNNNNNNNNNNNNNNNNNNNNNNNNNNNNNNNNNNNNNNNNNNNNNNNNNNNNNNNNNNNNNNNNNNNNNNNNNNNNNNNNNNNNNNNNNNNNNNNNNNUGUUUCUUCGAUUUCUCCUAUUCCACCAAAAUUGGAUUCUGACAAAAAGCUUAAGGAACCUAUUUUCAAACCCUUUCAGGUUUCGAAAACUAGCCAAAAGCUUGUUCAAGAGUCAAAAUCAGAUUUUGCUAAAGCCAUUAGAGAACAAUUAGAUAGGAUAGAAGCUGCUUCUUCCUCAUCUAGCAAAGUUCAGAUAGCCCCUGAUACUCCUCAAUCUAGCAAGAUUGGAGUAUUAGAACAAGACCAAAUGUCUAUAGCCUCUUCUGAUAUAGAAGCCUUCAAAGAAGAACCUUCUACUCCUAAAGCCAACAAAAUUUAUUGGGAAUUAGCCCUUCCCACUGUCAAGACUCCACCGGAUCUAGCAAUAGAUAAUAGACCAAGUGCAUUAAAUCAAUCCCGAUAUAAUGCAUCUUCAGUCUAUGAGUGAAAUAUUGACGGCAUGUCCGAAUACAAUAUCCUAGGAUUGUUGCAACAAAUAACAAUGGCAGCCAAUGCCUAUAAAACCCAAGCAGAAACUUCUGAUCGUGCUAUAUCAGAAAUCCUCAUUGCCGGUUUUACUGGUCAAUUAAAAGGUUGGUGGGAUCAUCUUCUCACUAAUCAGCAACAAUUAGACAUUCUAAAUUCAAUUCAAGUCGAUGAAAAUGGAGUCCCUAUUCUUGAUGAGUUCAACAAUCCAAUUCAGGAUGCUGUUGCUACUCUAAUUUUAACCAUUUCCCUCCAUUUCAUUGGUGACCCUUCACACCUUCGUGAUAAAAACGCUGAGUUACUACAUAACUUAAGAUGUAGGAAACUUAGUGAAUUUCAAAGUUACAAAACCUCAUUCUUUACCAGACUAUUUCUAAGGGAUGAUGCAAAUCAUAUAACUUGGAAAGAAAAAUUUCUUGCUGGAUUACCUACCCUUCUAGGUGAAAAGGUAAGAAAUUCCAUUAAAGCCCUUUAUGAUAACCGUAUUCCUUAUGAUGAGCUCACCUAUGGUGAACUCGUCAGUUUUGUCAAUAAAGAAGGAUUAAAGAUUUGUCAAGAUUUGAAAUUACAGAAACGACUUAAGUGGGAGCUUAAGAAGUCUAAACAAGAAUUAGGCGGUUUCUGUAAACAAUUCAAUUAUGACCCCUUUAAAACUUCUUAUCCCAAAGAUUGUAAUGGAGAGUGUUCUACUAAACCUCGCAGGAAACAUUACAAAUCAAAAACUUUUAGGAAACCCUUUCGUAAUUUUAGAGAACCUCCUUAUAAGAAACCUUCGAGGCCUUAUAAGAAACCCAAAUUCUCUAAAAGAAAAGAGUUUAGAGCCAAACCAAAGACCCCUUUCAAUUACAAAGAAGCUAUAUGUCAUAAAUGUGGCAUGAAAGGUCAUACUGCAAAUUAUUGCAGGAUGAACAAAAAGCUUCAUGAACUUGACCUCGCUGAAGAGAUCCUUUCCAAAUUAGCCCCCCUUCUUGUCGAAUCUUCUAAUUCCGAAUCUUCCAUGUCGGGAGACAGUGAUCCAUAUCAAGUUGAUGAGCUUUUUGACUCAGAUGACUCUGUAUCUAGCAGUAGUGAGUUUGAAUCUGAUUCAUAUUUAAAGAAAAUCAAUGUUUUGACUAAAGACCAAGAAACUUUUCUUGAACUUGUAAAGCAUAUUUCUGAUCCAAAUCUUCAAAAAGAAUAUCUUGAUAAACUUUUGAAAACUUUAGAUUUUAAUAAAGCCGAGACUUCUAAAGUCCCAAUUGUUAAAAAGAAUUCUUAUGAUCUUACUCAAAUUUUGGAUAAAAAGAAAACAAAGAAAACGGUUCCUAAUAUCCAAGAUCUUUAGAAAGAGAUAAAAGAAAUCAAAUGUGAAAUUAGAGAUUUAAAAGAAAAACAAAAAAGUGAUUCUGAUACUAUCCAACUUCUUUUACAAAAACAAUUGCAGGAUAAUUCAGACAAUGAAUCUAGUCCUGAUGAUGGUGAUGAUAUUAAAGUAGAAAAUAUUGAGUCUGUACCCAAUGAUUUUCUAUUUGUUUUAAAGCAAAUCACCACAAGAAAGUAUUUGAUUAAAGUCACUUUAAUCUUUUCUGAUGAUUUUGCAAUGGACGCCAUUGCCCUUUUUGAUACUGGCGCCGAUUUAAAUUGCAUUAGAGAAGACAUCGUCCCCAAAAGAUUUCAUGAAAAAACAAAAGAAAGACUUUCUGCCGCUAAUAAUUCAAAACUGAAUGUCAGUUCCAAGGUUGAAGCCUCAAUCCAUAAUAAUGGUUUUGAUUUUAAAACUUCUUUUGUCCUCACAAAUGAUAUUCAUCAUGCCAUCAUUUUGGGAACUCCUUUUAUAAAUCUUAUAACUCCAUAUACUAUCAAUUAUGAUAGUAUAUCCUUCAAAUAAAAAAAUAAGAAACUUGUUUUCCCUUUUAUUGAAAAACCUAAAACAAGGAAUUUGAAUAUUGUUAAAGCCUGUUCUGUUUAUCAAAACAGAAUAAAUAACCUACUUAAAUCAAAACAGUGUGAUAUAAUGUUUUUACAAAAAGAUUUAAACUUACAAAGAAUUGAAAGCCAAUUACAAAGUGAUUUCAUUAAAAGAAAGAUUUCUGAUUUCAAAACUCUCAUUGAAAAAGAAAUUUGUGCUGAUCUACCUUCUGGUUUUUGGGACAGAAAACAACACAUGGUAGAUCUACCUUAUGAAACUUCUUUUAAUGAAAGACAGAUCCCCACUAAAGCACGUCCAAUCCAGAUGAACAUGGAAUUGGAACAACAUUGCAAAAAUGAAAUCAAAGAUUUAGAGUCAAAAGGACUUAUUGUUAAGUCAAGGUCCCCAUGGUCUUGUGCCGCUUUUUAUGUUAAUAAAAAUUCUGAAAUUGAAAGAGGCACUCCUAAAUUAGUUAUAAACUACAAACCUCUUAAUAACGCUCUAAAAUGGAUUAGGUAUCCAAUACCUAAUAAAAAGGAUUUACUCCAAAAACUAUGUAAUGGGGUGACUGUUGAUUACCGAAUUAGCACUGGUUGUUAUGAUAAGUGCUGCAGCACUGGGCAGAACAAAUCUGCAUCCGCAACUAUCGCAUGUUGGAAAUCUCAUACCUUUAAAUCUACUAACAAUGACCAGUUGCUCAUAAAUUUAAUGUAUGGCUUUAUGAUCUUUAAUCUCUCUACCCUACAAGGUGAACACCUAUGUCUAGGAUAUCACAAAUCUUAAUUUCAAGCAUUGCCCUUAUGAGAUUUAAGAUAACCUAAUCCAGAAAACUUAAUUUAAGAACAAGUAAUACUCUAAUAAUGUCCGCUAAGACAUGCCCUUUUGCUGCUCUAUCUUAACUGAAACUAUUAAAUGGGUGGUCAACCGAAAUAAUAAUUAUAUCAUAAAAACUAUUAGAGUAUAAUGCUACAGAAUUAUCAUAACAUCAUAUAAGAACAGUCAAGAACCUAUUGGAUUAUUUGUCACUCAACUACAAGUAAAUUCAGUUUAUAUUCUGAAUGGGAAAAAUAAACAUAAUGAUCGCAGAAUACAUCCAAUCAAUUAAAGGAAGAAAGAUAAUAUGAGUUGAGCACGAUGAAAGUCUAAGGAUCCUCCUCGGUGCUUCAAUGAUGCCGAAUAGCCCUCCUUAAUCUGGAUCUUAUUCUUGCCUUUUUAAUUGUUUUUGAAUGUUAAUUCCACCGCCGCUUCUAUGUGGUGCAUGCCCCCUUUAUAUAUUUGCAAAUUAGGUUUUCCAAACCAGUGCCUAUGCGCGUGCCUGUGUUUUAAUUAGGAAACAUGCAGAUUGUAAUUUAAUUACUGACUCGCGCCUAUAUUUUCUCCUGCGUUUCUCCCAGAUUACUGCAGCAUUGGUUGCUCUAACAUCUGCAACAGCACUUGUGUCAUUUCCGAUUAUGCUUUCCUUCUUUUGUGAUCAUCUUCUUUCCAUAUUUAAUUAAUGCUUUAUCAAAUAUUUUAUUAGAUUCUUUAAACAAGCCUAGCAACAAACAUACAUCUAAAGGCUCAAAAAUAUCACUAGAUCUGGAUAUCAGAAAUAGCGAUCUGAUUGGAAGGAGGGAGAAAAAAAGAAUACAACUGAGGAUUGAGAUCUGGUCUCGUUGCCUCAGAGGAACGUAACAGUUGUAAGGCAGAUAUGAUACAGAUCAGUCUGCAAGUGAUGCUUUAAAAUAAAUUGCGAAAAUUUAAACAUACAUUGAAAGCUUUAAAUUACAAAUGCUUUAAAUAGAAUUGAAAAAUAAAUUGCUUACAUUAAUUGCUUUUUCGAAAUGCUUUACAAAGGUUGAUUUGUAUAGAGAAGAAAGGGAAAAUUACAAGACCAGGAAAAAUUUCCUUGAGCUAUCUUAAUCCAGAUUUCCCGAGAGAGAGAGAGAGAGAGAAAGAGAGAGAAGAAGAGAAUUGGAGAAUGGAAAAAUUCUGAGGAGUCUCAGUCUUCCUCUAGAAUAUAUACAAAAAUUUUUUAAACUGUAGACUGUAGCGGAGCUGUAGCAUAUAGUAAUCUUUGGAACUCUCCACUGUAGACUGUAGCGGAGCUGUAGCGAACAGUAAUCUUUAGAAUUCUUCACUGUAGACUGUAGCGGUGCUGUAGCAUACAGUAAUCUUUGUAACAAAGUUUAAAAUACAAGUAUAAUACGGGUGAAGAGACAUGUGCGCUCUCACUUGUGUCCAGGGGACCACCCGAAGAUACAUACAUAAACUCAAAAAUACAAUUAAUUACAAUGGAAAUGUGAGCCCCAGUGAUUACAGAAGAAGAAUAUUUCAAAGUUAUGGAGCAGCUCAUCACCUCUCGAUCAAAGUCUUCAGUCGCAGACUCCUCUGACGAUGAUGAUGAAGAGCCAUUUAUUUCACUUGGAGACGACAAUGAAUAUGAUUGUUUCGGAAUUUUCUCUCCAAUAAAGCAUUGUAAAUAAUUAUUGUUUCUAAAAAAAAAGAGUAAAUAUUCAUUUUGUAAUUUUCACAUUUCCAUUGUAAUUAAUUGUAUUUUUAAGUUUAUGUAUGUAUCUUCGGGUGGUCCCCUGGACACAAGUGAGAGCGCACAUGUCUCUUCACCCGUAUUAUACUUGUAUUUUAAACUUUGUUACAAAGAUUACUGUAUGCUACAGCACCGCUACAGUCUACAGUGAAGAAUUCUAAAGAUUACUGUUCGCUACAGCUCCGCUACAGUCUACAGUGGAGAGUUCCAAAGAUUACUAUAUGCUACAGCUCCGCUACAGUCUACAGUUUAAAAAAUUUUUGUAUAUAUUCUAGAGGAAGACUGAGACUCCUCAGAAUUUUUCCAUUCUCCAAUUCUCUUCUUCUCUCUCUUUCUCUCUCUCUCUCUCUCUCGGGAAAUCUGGAUUAAGAUAGCUCAAGGAAAUUUUUCCUGGUCUUGUAAUUUUCCCUUUCUUCUCUAUACAAAUCAACCUUUGUAAAGCAUUUCGAAAAAGCAAUUAAUGUAAGCAAUUUAUUUUUCAAUUCUAUUUAAAGCAUUUGUAAUUUAAAGCUUUCAAUGUAUGUUUAAAUUUUCGCAAUUUAUUUUAAAGCAUCACUUGCAGACUGAUCUGUAUCAUAUCUGCCUUACAACUGUUACGUUCCUCUGAGGCAACGAGACCAGAUCUCAAUCCUCAGUUGUAUUCUUUUUUUCUCCCUCCUUCCAAUCAGAUCGCUAUUUCUGAUAUCCAGAUCUAGUGAUAUUUUUGAGCCUUUAGAUGUAUGUUUGUUGCUAGGCUUGUUUAAAGAAUCUAAUAAAAUAUUUGAUAAAGCAUUAAUUAAAUAUGGAAAGAAGAUGAUCACAAAAGAAGGAAAGCAUAAUCGGAAAUGACACAAGUGCUGUUGCAGAUGUUAGAGCAACCAAUGCUGCAGUAAUCUGGGAGAAACGCAGGAGAAAAUAUAGGCGCGAGUCAGUAAUUAAAUUACAAUCUGCAUGUUUCCUAAUUAAAACACAGGCACGCGCAUAGGCACUGGUUUGGAAAACCUAAUUUGCAAAUAUAUAAAGGGGGCAUGCACCACAUAGAAGCGGCGGUGGAAUUAACAUUCAAAAACAAUUAAAAAGGCAAGAAUAAGAUCCAGAUUAAGGAGGGCUAUUCGGCAUCAUUGAAGCACCGAGGAGGAUCCUUAGACUUUCAUCGUGCUCAACUCAUAUUAUCUUUCUUCCUUUAAUUGAUUGGAUGUAUUCUGCGAUCAUUAUGUUUAUUUUUCCCAUUCAGAAUAUAAACUGAAUUUACUUGUAGUUGAGUGACAAAUAAUCCAAUAGGUUCUUGACUGUUCUUAUAUGAUGUUAUGAUAAUUCUGUAGCAUUAUACUCUAAUAGUUUUUAUGAUAUAAUUAUUAUUUCGGUUGACCACUGCUGUACGGCCAAGGCGGAUGUACGGUACAGCAGGCUGGAUUGACAAUUUCUAGUUCUAAAGUUUCUUUAUUUCAAACAAAAGUCAGAUUCCUUGGUCAUCAUAUUUCUAAAGGAACAAUCACUCCAAUCGAGAGAUCUCUUUUGUUUGCUGAUAAAAUUCUUAACAAAACUCAAUUACAAAGAUUUCUUGGGAGUUUAAAUUAUGUUCUUGAUUUCUGUCCUAACAUUAAUAGGAUGUCUAAACCCUUGCAUGAUAGAUUAAAGAAAAAACCUGUUCCUUGGACAGAUGAACAUACCAAGGUUGUAAAGCUUAUAAAGAAUUCUGUGAAAAGCAUCCCAUGUUUAUAUCUUGCUAAUCCUACAUUACCUAAAAUUGUUGAAACUGAUGAUUCUGAUUUAGGUUAUGGAGGCAUAUUAAAGCAAAAAGAAAAUGAUAAAGAACAGAUAGUACAAUAUGUUUCUGCACAUUAGAAUGAUUGCCAGAAAAAUUAUUCUACUAUAAAAAAAGAAAUUCUUUCCAUUGUUUUAUGUGUUACAAAAUUUCAAAGUGAUUUACUAAAUCAAAAAUUUCUACUUAGAAUUGAUUGCAAAGCUGCAAAACAUGUUUUGGAAAAAGAUGUUCAAAAUAUUGCAUCAAAACAGAUUUUUGCACGAUGGCAAGCCAUUUUAAGUGUUUUUGAUUUUGAUAUUGAAUAUAUUAAAGGUGAUACAAAUUAUAUUCUUGAUUUUCUAACUCGGGAAUUUCUUCAAAACAGAUAAUGCCGCCAAAGAAGAAAGACAAAGGUAAAGCUGUUCUUAAAGAUUCUGAAUCUAGAGCAACCUCUAAAGAACCCCAAGCUACCCCUUCUAAAGACAAAUUACUUUCCUCAGCCAUGCCUAUUAAAUCUUGGAUAGAAAUGGUUGAAGAACAUGGUGCCCAUUACAAAACCACUUCUUCUAAUGACCAAGUAAAACAAUGGAUGAGUUCCAUUACAAAGUCCCCUGAGCUUAUGCUCGCCUUACAAAACCUUUCCCAAAGCCAGAUUUUCUCAAAAGAAGAAAAAGAAAACCCUAUCUCCAAAGAAAUCUCAAAACCCUCUUCUCAAAAUGUGAGUGAACAGUUUAAAGAUCUUUGUAUAAAAACCGAGAGGAAGACUCAGACUCCUCAGGUUUUUCAUUUCUAAGUUUAGAACUUCUCUCUCUUCUUCUCUCCCUUCUCUCUAGAAUUCUCUCUCUCUCUCUCUCUGGGAAUAGGAAUCUGGAAUCCGAAGACAAAAAGAAAUUUCUCCUGUCUUCAGAUUAAUUUCCCAUUAUUUCUCUUUCUUCUCUACAAAGAAAACCAACUAAUGUAAGCAUUUCAUUCCAGUUUUAUUAAAGCAAUUUUUAGCAAUUUCAAAGUUUUUCCCUAAGGGUUGGUUUUUUAAACCAUGGGAUUUAACAAAACCUCAAUCCUACUAUCAAAGCAUUUUAGAAAUCACUGAUUCAGUUAAGUUCAAAUAUUUCUUUCUCAGUGAAUCACAUUCAGAACCAGCCUAUUCCACGGCUACUAUUUUAAAAGUUUUGAGCCCAAACCAAUGGGGUGACCUACUCCAUAAUUUUUAAACUUUUCCUUUAAAUUUCCAAACACGUUUACCUCAUUGUCGGACUUAUUCCUACUGGGAUUACCAACAAGCCUGGUAUAACACCUUUUUUUUAUCCAAAAUCCCAAAAAAUCCCAUUCUUGGUUAUUUUUCUUCAACCCAAAAAUAACCGUCCAAAGCCUUCCAAACUGGUUCCAUCAUUGGUGGAAUACUUUUGGCCCAAUACCACAAAUUUUAACCCCAAAUGCCACCCAUUGUUUAAACCUCUUCAAAGCCCAUUAUACUCCUUCUGAAUCCGAGAAAAGGUUUCCCCCAUUUCUCUGUUUCUGUACAAAUUUCUUCCUUCCAUGGGUAUGGAUGUGGAACCUUAGGCUUCAUACCCAAGAUUCCCAACUCAUCCUUCAAAGAACCUUUAAAGUAAAAUGGUGGUCCAAAUUUGACGAACAGUCAAAAUUGACUGAAAAUUUGGUCCGAGAUUGGCUCUCUGCCAAAGGCCUUCUUCAACCCACCAUAACACAUUCUAAAGCCCAACAAACCUUUUUGACCCAAAAGUCCAAAGCCCAAUCCCUAUUGGCAAGUGCCAAAACAGAAGAAGAAUACUUCAAAGCCAUGGAACAGCUCCUCGCCUCCCAGUCAAAGUCAUCAGUAGCUGACACCUCUGAAGACGAAGAAGAAGAUGAAGAUGAAGAGCCCUUUAUUUCUCUUGGAGAUGAUAAUGAAGAUGAAUGUUUCAGAAUUUUCUCUCCAGUAAAGCAUUGUAAAUAAUUAUUUGAUUAUUUACUUUAAAAAAAAUUAUUGUUCUGUUUCUUCGGGUGGUCCUCUGGACACAAGUGAGAGCGCACAUGUCUCUUUACCCGUAUCGUAUUUCAAUUUUUGUACAAAGAAUCUACUAUUCAGAGUUACGAUCCAGAUGUUACUGUGCACUUAAAGCUCCGCUACAGUGAACAGUACAGAUUUCCAGAGUUUACUGUGCACUUAAAAUCCCGCUACAGUGAAUAGUUUAAAGAUCUUUGUAUAAAAUCCGAGAGGAAGACUCAGACUCCUCAGGUUUUUCAUUUCUAAGUCUGGAACUUCUCUCUCUUCUUCUCUCCCUUCUCUCUAGAAUCCUCUCUCUCUCUCCCUCUCUCUCUCUCUCUCUGGGAAUAGGAAUCUGGAAUCCGAAGACAAAAAGAAAUUUCUCCUGUCUUCAGAUUAAUUUCCCAUUAUUUCCCUUUCUUCUCUACAAAGAAAACCAACCGAUGUAAGCAUUUCAUUCCAGUUUUAUUAAAGCAUUUGUAAUUUUAUUUAAAGGAAUUUAAUUUCCGCACUUUAAAUUUCAGCAAUUUAAAUUUCUGCAAUUUAAUUUUAUGUAACAUUUAAAUUUCCGCAAUUUACAUUUAAAGCAUUUAAAUUUCAGUCUUGUAUGUGUUGCUAGGCUUGCUAAAGAAUUUAAUAAAGAUUUGGUAAAUUGUUUAAAAUCUGACAACCGCGUUUAAAGAACUUAAUUAUUAUUUGGUAAAGCAAAAUUAAGUUGGUAUAUCGGCUGGAAACCCGAACGUGUGGGCUAUUGAUUUGUUCUAAGUUAGAUCUGGGUCCAAAGGCAGAUUCCCUUCUGCAUCGAUCUGGUUUAACAACGCCACGUACUAAUUUAAUAAAUAUAAAACCUGACCAACCGCGAUCCAAAGCAAAUCUACUUAAUCUAAAAUUGGUAACUGAAUUUAAAAUUUGAACAAACGCGAUCCAAUUUGUUCUAUCUAAAGCAAUCAAUAAAGAAUUAUUUCGAAAACACAUCCAUCCUUCGAUCCUAUUUCCUUCUAAGGACUUUGAUAAAUUAAUGCAACUGGGAUGUUUUUCCAGUUGCAUUAAUUCGGGUUUACAAUGCUUUACUGGAGAGAAAAUUCUGAAACAGUCAACGCCACGUACUAAUCAAAUAAUUAUUUACAACGCUUUACUGGAGAGAAACAAGAAACAUGAUAUUCAUCAUGUUCAUAUAUAUAUAUGAACAGCAAAAGUAUCAAAAGUAAAAAAAAUUUGCCUACGGAUUUUCUUAACUUUCUUUAUUAAUUUCCCUUCUUUCCAUAUAUGUUCUUAUGUAACAAAUAACAAGAAUUAUUAUAAUUUGAUAUAUGUUAAUCAAAUCUUUUGUAGCAACUCUCCCUAAAUUCCAGAGGGAAUUCGAGGGGGGUCUCUAGAUGCAAUUUACAACUAAAGCAUGGUAGAAGCGUUAAAACUAAUAAACUUAAAAAUAUUUCUAGAAUAUAUAAACCUUCGAUCCUUAAAUAGUGGAAAAUGUAAAAUUUGCCAAACUAUCUAUCAUCCUCAAUGUAGAUUUUCUCCUCACUUAACAUUAAUCAAUUUUGAUCAUGGAAAUUACAAUAAACUUUAAUGAGUACAAGAAUUAGUAAAGAAAGCAAUUUUUCAUCUACCAGAAUACACACACUUAUGUAUAAUACAAAUACACACUUAUAUAUAAUACAAAUACACGAUAUGCAAUGCUCUUUGAAAAACAUCAUAAAAGAAGUUCUUCAAAACCUAGGGUCACUUUCAAAACCUUUCCUUUCAAAUCACUUACUUAAACUAUCUUUAUUCAAUUACCAUUUAUUAUGACUCUCACUUAACAUUCAUACUUUCACAUAAUACUUAUUUUGGGCUUUACACAAGCAUCCUUCACCCACUUAUCUCUUAAAAUAAAAUAUGGAGUGCUUACUGAUAACUCUAGGAAAUGAGAGUUAUUACAUUUAUUUUAGACUUGAAGAAAGGCCAUUUAGAAAGCAAAUAAUGUAUUUUGAUUACAUUUUGGUGAACUUUUGCAUAAACAUUCAUUUUAAUUGAGUCUUAACAAGUUUUGCUUGAAUAAUAGUAAUUUGUGCUAAAAACAAGUUUUAAUUUGUAGGUUUUAAAUUCAUAAAAGGAUGCGGAGACAUUAGAUGAGAAAGAGAAGGAAAGAAGAUGAUCACAAAAGAAGGAAAGCACAAUUGGAAAUGACACAAGUGCUAUUGCGGAUGUUAGAGCAACCAAUGCUGUAACAAUCUAGGAGAAACGCGGGAGAAAAUAUAGGCGCGGGUCAGCAAUUAAAUUACAAUCUGCAUGUUUCCUAAUUAAAACACAGGCACGCGCAUGGGCGUUGGUUUGGAAAACCUAAUUUGCAAAUAUAUAAAGGAGGCAUGAACCACAUAAAAGCGGCGGUGGAAUUAACAUUCAAAAACAAUUAAAAAGGCAAGAAGAAGAUCGAGAUUAAGGAGGGCUAUUCGGCAUCAUUGAAGCACCGAGGAGGAUCCUUAGACUUUCAUCGUGCUCAACUCAUAUUAUCUUUCUUCCUUUGAUUGAUUGGAUGUAUUCUGCGAUCAGUAUAUUUAUGUUUAUUUUUCUCAUUCAGAAUAUAAACUGAAUUUACUUGUAGUUGAGUGACAAAUAAUCCAAUGGGUUCUUGACUAUUCUUAUAUGAUGUUAUGAUAAUGCUGUAGCAUUAUACUCUAAUAAUUUUUUAUGAUAUAAUUGUUAUUUCGGUUGACCACCCAUUUAAUAGUUUCAGUUAGUAUAGAGCAGCAAAAGGGCAUGUCUCAGCGGACAUUAUUAGAGUAUUACUUGUUCUUAAAUUGAGUUUGCUGGAUUAGGUUAUCUUAAAUCUCAUAAGGGCAGUGCUUGAAAUUAAGAUUUGUGAUAUCUUAGACAUAGGUGUUCACCUUGUAGGGUAGAGGGAUUAAAGAUCAUAAAGCCAUACAUUAAAUUUAUGAGCAACUGGUCAUUGUUAGUAGAUUUAAAGGUAUGAGAUUUCCAACAUGCGAUAGUUGCGGAUGCAGAUUUGUUCUACCCAGUGCUGCAGCACUUAUCAUAACAACCAGUGCUAAUUCGGUAAUCAACAGUCACCCCAUUAGGAGAAUUUGAUCAUUCAACUACUAUAUUAUUAAUUGAACCUUGGACACAUUUAAUUAAGUUUAUUUUAUUUCGAUAUUGCUUUAAUUCCCAUCUCUCACAAUUAUUAUUUACGAUAGAAUUAUUUGGCAAUUGUUUGUUUCGGUCUUUAGUUGACGUGCAUUAUUGUGAUUGCUUUAACAUUUUGAGUAACAUCAAUCCUUGUGGAGACGAUCUUGAAUACUCAUCACUUUAUUACUUAUUGUGUAUACUUGCACAUUGGCAUUGAUAAUAAUUGAUUAUACAAAUCAACCAACAAGUUUUUGGCGCCGUUGCCGGGGAUUGAUUGUUUAUUUUUGGAGUGUGAAGUAAAUUGCGAUAGCACCAAACUUAACUCAAUUCAUUCUAUUGAUUGGCAGAUCAGUACGUACAUGCACAAAAAUAAAUCUGAGGUAUUCCAAUUCGAUCCUGAGAUUGAAAGGACUAUCAAGAGAUUGCGAAGAGAACAAAGAAAUUCAAAGACUGCUUCAGGCAUGAAUAACUUGCAAGAUGAGGGAAAUUUGAACCCUCACGGACCUUUACAACCAGCAAACAUUCAAGAAGAGCGGAAUAAAUAUGCUAACGGGAGACAACCAGGAAAUAACAAUAUUAUUUACAUGGCAGAUGACAGGGACCGAGCUAUACGAGAUUAUGCUGUGCUAACUCCUCAAGUUGUCCAUCUUGGCAUCAUCAGACCUGAAGUAGAUGCUGUCAACUUUGAAUUAAAACCAGUGAUGUUUUAAAUGUUGCAAACAGUUGGGCAAUUCAAUGGACUGCCAAAUGAAGAUCCUCAUCUCCAUCUUAAAUUGUGCUUGCAAGUGAUUUUAGAGAGAAUUGCCAAUAAUAACUAUCAGUGGCCUUCAGCUAGGCAACCAGUAGCAAGAGGAUCAGCAGGGGUACAUAGCAUUGAUGCAAUUACAGCCUUAUCAGCUCAAGUAACUUCAUUGACUAACAUAGUAUCAACUUUGAAUUAAAACCAGUGAUGUUUUAAAUGUUGCAAACAGUUGGGCAAUUCAAUGGACUGCCAAAUGAGUAAAAGCCAUGACAGCUGCUCCAGUAACAGUAAAGCAAGUUACUGAACUUUCUUAUGUCUAUUGUGGUGAAGAUCAUGAUUUUGAUAAUUGCCCUGGAAAUCCAGCCUCAGUAAUUAUGUGGGUAACUUCAAUCGACAACCUCAGAACAACCCAUAUUCAAAUACUUACAACCCAGGCUGGAAACAACACCCAAAUUUCUCAUUGAGCAAUCAGAAUUGAAAUCCUCCAACAUUGAAUGGGCUAAGUAGAAACACACAACCACAACCACCUGGUUUUCAUCAACAAAGUCAAGGGCAAAAGCAUAUCAGUCAGGAUCCAAUCACUUCAUUGGAAGUAUUAAUCAAGGAGUACAUUGUAAAGAAUGAAGCAAUUGUGCAGAGUCAAGUUGUGUCCUUGAGAAACCUUGAGAACCAAAUGGGACAAUUAGCUACAGCAAUGAGCAGCAGAACUCAAGGAAGCUUACCUAGCAACACAGAAGAUCAUAGGAGAGAGAGAGCAAAGAACACUGUAAAGUGAUUAGUCUGAGAUCUAGAAAGCAUGUUGAUAUCCCAGUUGAGGUGACAAAAAAUGGGAUGGAAGGCAUUUCAGCUCAAAAACCAACUCAAAAGGGAAGCAUGUUACAGCAGACUCCCCAUCAAGACACUGAUGCAAGAGACCUAGCUAUAGCAACUGCAAAAGAAAAUCAACCAGAUCUUGCUGAAAAAGAAGUUACAACACCAGUAGCCACAACCUGCACCAACUUAAACAAACAGAGUUUGGUACCUCCUGAAUCUAACCAGCAGUUUAGAUAUCCACCAUUCUUCCCUCAAAGGUUCCAGAAACAAAAACAAGACAAGCAGUUCAGCAAAUUCCUGGAAGUGUUGAAGCAACUGCACAUAAACAUACCUUUUGUGGAAGCUUUGGAGCAAAUGCCAAAUUAUGUAAAAUUUUUAAAAGAUAUCUUGGCACGAAAAAGAAGGCUGGGAGCUGGGAGAGUUUGAAACUGUUGUUCUAACAUAGGAAAACAGCCAUAUGCUUCAGAGUAAAAUUUCCACAAAAUUGAAAGAUCCAGGGAGUUUUACAAUGCCCUGCUUUAUAGGGAAUAGGUAUGCUGGCAGAGCACUUUAUAAUUUGGGAGCUAGUAUCAACUUGAUGCCAUUAUCUGUAUUUAAGCAGCUUUGAGUAGGGGAGUGCAGACCAACAACUGUCACUCUGCAAUUAGCUGACAGAUCUCAUGCAUAUCCUGAAGGAAAAAUAGAGGAUGUACUGGUGAAGGUUGACAAAUUCAUUUUUCGAGUGGAUUUCAUUGUGCUGGACUUUAAAGCUGACAAAGAGGCACCCAUUAUACUUGGCAGACCUUUUCUGGCAACUGAAAAGACUUUGAUAGAUGUCCAGAAAGGAGAGCUGACCAUGAGAGUGAAUUAUCAGCAAGUCACAUUCAAUGUACUAGAGGCUAUGAGAAACCCUAAUGAAAUAGAAGAUUGUAAUUUCCUAAGUGUAGUGGAUCUUGUUGUAGCAAACAGAUUGGACAGAUGCUACAGUAAUAUACUUAACAAAGUAACCACCUUUGAGGAGGUUGAAGAGGAAGAUGUUGCAGCAAUUCAAACAUAUUGGAUGGACAAACAACAAUCUAAUGGGUACAAUAGGGUUAUUUAACACCUGAAUCUUUCAGACAGGGAAGUAAAAAUAACUUUAUCAUUUAUUGAAUCACCCCCUGGUUUUGAAUUAAAAUUGUUACCUUCACAUUUAAAGUAUGCUUAUCUUGGUCAAAACAACCCACUCCCUGUAAUCAUUUCUUCUACUUUGGAUGUAGGUCAAGAACAAAGCCUAGUAGAUUUGCUGGGAAAAUACAGAAGAGCAAUUGGAUGGACCAUGACAGAUAUAAAGGGUAUCAACCCAUCAAUAUAUAUGCAUAAGAUCCUUUUAGAAGACUGUUCCAGCAAUUCGGUGGAGCACCAGAGAAAGCUGAAUCCUAUUAUGAAAGAAGUGGUGAAGAAGGAAAUCAUCAAAUCGUUAGAUGCUAGAAUCAUAUACCCAAUAUCAGACAGUUCAUGGGUAAGCCCAGUUCAGUAUGUUCCAAAGAAAGGAGGGAUAAUAGUAAUGGCUAAUGAGAAGAAUGAUCUUAUUCCUACAAGGACAGUGACUGGAUGGAGAGUGUGUAUGGAUUACAGGAAGCUCAACAAAGCAACAAGGAAAGACCAUUUCCCACUUCCAUUCAUAGAUCAGAUGCUGGACAGACUUGCUAGAAAAUAAUACUACUGUUUCUUAGAUGGGUAUUCAGGCUACAACCAGAUUGCUAUAACACCAGAGGAUUAAGAGAAGACUACAUUUACUUAUCCUUACGGAACAUUUGCCUUCAUAAGAAUGUCAUUUGGGCUAUGCAAUGCUCCAGCAACUUUUCAAGGAUGCAUGAUGUCUAUAUUUUCUAACAUGGUAGAGCAGACCUUGAAAAUUUUCAUGAAUGAUUUUUCAGUUUUUGGAGAGACAUAUGGUAAUUGUUUACACAACUUGGAAGAAGUUCUUAAAAGAUGUGAGAUGACCAACUUAGUACUUAAUUGGGAGAAGUGCCAUUUCAUGGUACAAGAAGGAAUAAUGCUGGGUCACAAGAUAUCCAAGGAUGGUAUUGAGGUAGAUAAAGCCAAGAUAGAGGUAAUAGAUAAACUACCACCCCCAACCUCAGUAAAGGGUAUUAGGAGUUUUCUAGGUCAUGUUGGAUUCUACAGAAGAUUCAUCAAGGAUUUUUCUAGAGUAGCCAAGCCUCUAUGUUCAUUGCUGGAGCAUGAUAAACCAUUUCACUUUGACAAAGAAUGCCUUCAAGCAUUUAGAGAAUUAAAGAAAGCCUUGAUCACUGCUCCAGUAGUUAUAUCUCCAAAUUGGAAUUUACUAUUUGAAUUGAUGUGUGAUGCUAGUAAUCAUUCUGUGGGAGCAGUAUUAUGGCAAAGAAAGGAUAAGGUUUUUCAUUCCAUAUAUUAUGCAAGCAAAACUCUUACUCCAACUCAGAUUAAUUACACCACUACAAAGAAGGAGUUGCUGGUAGUAGUUUUUGCUUUUGACAAAUUCAUAGCUUACCUGGUAGGUACUAAAGUAACUGUUUACACAGACCAUGCAGCCAUCAAAUAUUUAAUUUCAAAGAAGGAUGCCAACCCAAGACUAAUCAGAUGGAUCUUAUUGCUUCAAGAAUUUGAUCUGAAAAUUACAGAUAGAAAGGGGACUGAGAAUCAAGUGGCAGACCACUUGUCACGGUUGGAAGCAGACACUAGUACAUUGACAAGGAAGGGCAUCACUGAAACGUUUCCUGAUGAAUAGCUGUUAGCAGUACAGCAAGCAUAGAUGUUGUAGUAGUCAGAAUCUCCAUGGUAUGCAGACUUUGCUAAUUAUCUGGUAAGUGGGUUACUACCACUUGAGCUGAAGUUUCAAGAGAAAAAGAAAUUUCUUCAUAAUGUUAGAAGCUACCAGUGGGAUGACCCAUAUUUAUAUAAGUUAUGCUCAGAUCAAGUAAUAAGACGAUGUGUUGCAGUAGAAGAAAUACCUCAUAUACUGCAAUCAAGUCAUGCUGCAGCAUAUGGAGGACAUUUUGGUGGUCACAGAACAGCUGCCAAAGUUAUGCAAUCAGGUUAUUAUUGGCCCACUAUUUUUAAAGAUGCUUAUGAAUUUGUUAAAUGUUGUGAUAGGUGUCAAAUGACAGGGGACAUAACCAGCAGACAUGAGAUACCAUUGACCAACAUACUGGAAGUAGAAGUUUUUGAUGUUUGGGGAAUAAAUUUCAUGGGACCUUUUCCCCCAUCCUUUGGAAACUUAUAUAUCCUUGUUGCUGUAGACUAUGUCUCCAAGUGGGUGGAAGCUACAGCAUUACCUACCAAUGAUGCUAAAACCGUGGUAACUUUUCUUCAAAAAAAUGUUUUUCUCCAGGUUUGGUACUCCUAGAGCAAUUAUUAGUGAUGAAAGCGCACAUUUUUGCAACAAAAUCUUUACUGUAGCAAUGAUGAAAUAUGGAGUCAGACACAAGAUAGCAACAACAUAUCACCCACAAUCUAAUGGUCAGGCUGAAGUGUCCAACAGAGAGAUUAAAAAGAUCUUAGAAAAAGUGGUGAACCCAACAAGGAAGGACUGGUCUUUACAUUUGCAUGACUCUUUAUGGGCCUACAGAACAGUAUACAAAACCCCAUUCAGCAUGUCUCCUUACCGAAUUGUUUAUGGCAAGGCUUGUCAUUUGCCCCUAGAGCUAGAGCAUAAAGCACACUGGGCACUGAAGAAAAUAAAUUGGGACAUGCAUGCUGCAGCAGAACAAAGGAAACUUCAACUUUGUGAGCUUGAUGAAUUAUGGCUGUUUUCAUAUGAAAAUGAAAAAAUUUAUAAAGAGAGAACAAAACAUUGGCAUGACAAGCAUAUUCAACACAGGAAGUUCAUCCCUAGUCAAUUAGUGUUGCUCCACAAUACAAGACUAAGGUUGUUUCCGGGAAAGCUCAAGUCACGAUGGUCUGGCCCGUUUAAGCUAUUGAAAUCUUACCCUCAUGGAGCUGUUGAUCUUUUAGAUCAACAAAUGGGUCACGAAUUCAAGGUUAAUGGGCACAGGGUUAAGCAUUACAUGCACCCAGCAGCAGAAGGGUCAAAGGAGGUGUUAUCCCUUCAAGAACCCCACUAUUGAGCAAAGACAGAAGGUCAGACUGAAGGACCUUAAAUCAAGCGCUUCAUGGGAGGCAGCCCAUUGAGGAAGCAGCCACAUCAAACCAAUUUCGAUAUCCUUUGGUUUUAUGGACAUCCAUUCCUCUUUACCAUUUUAUUUAAUCUUGUUUUGCCAUGUUAACCAUUUAUUUUUAUCCUUUUACAUUAUUGCAUUCCUUCUUUUCGAUUUACUUUAAUCUACCUUAUCUUAAUAAUUUUAGACUUAAUUUUAGUUUGAAAUAAAUGUGACAAUUGAAUUUCAUAUUGACAAGUGCAAGUAGCUGGUGGCAACCACGUGUCAGACGCUUUGGUAUGGAUUUUGUACCCGUUGUUGGAAUGAGCAAAUGGGGGCUGUAGCAACAAAUUUUCCCGUUACAGUAAAUUAAAGGCUGGAGCCUUCACUUACCGUUGGAGAUGAAAUCGUGACAGAUGGACGCUCGAAUAUGGAUAGAAAUUGCGGAAACAAAUCUUCGAAAUCACAGCUUUAAUUUCAAUGACCGAUAAUUUUGGGAUAUGCAUAUUUAAUUCAAAUAUUUUAUUCCCUCAAUUAUCUCUAAUUACUGUAGUUAUCUUCAAAUUACAGUCAACUAUAAAAAAGAGUCAUUUUGCUUAAUGUCCAAGCCAUUAUUCCCCAUCUCCUUCGCAAGUCCAACUCUCCUAAUUCUUUAACAUUUCUUCUAUUUUGGCUCUCAGGAAUAGUAGCCUAACUUUGUUACUGCUACAGCAAUGCCGCGAUAUAAGAAAACAGCGAGCCGCCUCAAAGAUCUAUCACAAUUCCAGAGUUACCAUGCCGAAGAAAAAUACAAAGAAUUCAUAGAGCCACGCAGGAUUCUGGAAGAAAAAGGGUUUCAAUUUCCAGACCAACUCACUGGAAUUGUGAAAACAACUCAUGAUGCUGCAGCAAAGCGAGGAUGGCUAGAGUUUUACAAACACCCUCGCAAUCCUGUACUGCCAGUGGUAAAAGAAUUUUAUGCCAAUUUUGUAAGCUCUGAUCAGUACAAUAUCUAGGUAAGAAAUACACUUGUUCUAUUGGACUCUCGUGUUAUCAAUGUUUUUUAUAACUUACCUGUUGAGAUUACUUGUGAGUAUGCUAAAUUGCGUGAUAAGUUAACCCCGAAAAAGUGGACCACCAUUUUCACAACUCUUACCAUCGAAGGGGCAUCAUGGGUUAACGAGGAAGGGCGUGUAGUUAACAGGAUAGAGUUGAAACCUAUUGCUAAGGUGUGGGUGAAAUUUUUGAAAUUUAGACUUAUGCCCACCACUCACACUACUACGGUUUCACAAGAAAGAUUGGUUUUGCUAUACGUCCUUGUUAGAGGGCUCCCUAUAGAUGUAGGUAGCAUCAUUACCAAAGAAAUCCGAGAAUGUGCAGCCAAAACUCAUCGAACUGCUGUUUUACUAUUUCCUUCACUUGUCACCAGUAUUUGUGUAGUUUCAGGUGUUCGUUUUGAAGCCAGCGCUGAUCAUGUCAAGAAUGAGGGUGCCUUUACGGCACGAAAAAUUGAAAGAGUUGCUGGCGAGAGUGCUGGAACAACCACUGAACCAGCUGCUGUAACAGGAGCACGACGAACUCUUAGUUUAGAACAGACCAUCCAAGCACUCAGCACCAGUAUCAAUCAAUGUAUGGAAGCUCAGCAGAGGGAAAAUGGUCGGUUUUGGAGCUAUCUACAGCACCUGGAUGGACAACUACACAAAUUUGCUGAGUACAUGAAACACAAUCAUUGGAACUUCCCUACUUCCCUGCUCCAGCAAUACAAUUUUGACACUAGCACCACAGGUGCUCCAGCAGAAACCAAUGAAGAAGCCAAUGCUUCAGAUGAACCAGCAGAGCAAGCUGCAACUGAACCACCAACAAACGUUGACUCAGAAGAUGCUGAACUAUCUGACCCACCUGAGGAUGAAGGUGAUAAAUUUGAGACAUAUAGCUCACCCUCAGAGGCAGAGGAUAAUUCAGAACAUGAACGUGAGGAAACACCCAUCCCCACCCAGUCCAAAACUAGGAAGCAGCACAUUAUUCAAGAAGAGGAGAAGGAAGACCUUGACGUGGAACCUCCUAUUCCAGUCUUUGUAAGCAAAGGAAAGGCCAAGGGUAAAGCAAAAAUGGCAACACCUCUAGCCUCUGACGAUGAAAUGGAACAAGUUGAUGUUGAGUUAGCUGCUGCAACAGCUAGAGCCAUGCCUACAUCUGAGCCAGCCAAGCAACUACUUGAGGUAAUAGUUGCCAUCACAGCCGAGGGCCAGGCAGCUGACGCAUUGACUCAAAAGACUCCACAGCCAAGUCCUAGCCAGCCUAUCCGCACCAGUCCAAGACAACCCAGCAAACGAAAAGGCAAUACAUCUGCGGGUACCACAACUCUUCUCACCAGCCCUGCAGCGAAAAAGACAAAGACAUUGCCAGCUACCUUCCCAGAGGCUUCACCAAAGGAUAAGUUGCUUAGUGCAUCCAAGAAGCGCUGAUAACAUCACAUCAUGGGCUGUAGUCCCCACCACAGGGGAGUACUUUUCUCUCACUAGUUUCCUUCUUGUUCAAAAAAAAAAAGAGUUGUUUGUCCAUUUGUGUGUUUGUAUUUUGUUUGUUUGUGAGGACACAUCAUCUCUCAAGUUUGGGGGGGUUGUUUCCGAAUGCAUGUGUUUUAUGUUUGUGUUUAUGUUUGUGUUGUGUGAAGCUCUAUCAUCUGUUAUUUGUGUAUGGAUUUGAAAACCUAAUGAAGAUAAAUUGAGUGCUAUUAAGUAUUUAUGAGAAUGCCAAGUAGAGAUAGUUUUAGAUAGAAGUGAAAUUAUGUCCCAACACUUAGCCCGUGAUUGAGUUGUAUGAGACUGCUAGAGCAAAACCAAAAGAAUAGAAAAUGUCUUAAGAUUUGAAGGAAGAAGCAUGUUGAUUGACUGUGAUAUUUAUGAAAUAAAACUCUGCUCCAAUGGCUUAAGUUGCUGAGUAACCAGAUCUGAGUAUGCACCCCAUAUGCAGAAAUGUGUAAAAAAGUAGCGACAUGUGCGCUCUCACUUGUGUCCAGGGGACCACCCGAAGAUACAUACAUAAACUCAAAAAUACAAUUAAUUACAAUGGAAAUGUGAGCCCCAGUGAUUACAGAAGAAGAAUAUUUCAAAGUUAUGGAGCAGCUCAUCACCUCUCGAUCAAAGUCUUCAGUCGCAGACUCCUCUGACGAUGAUGAUGAAGAGCCAUUUAUUUCACUUGGAGACGACAAUGAAUAUGAUUGUUUCGGAAUUUUCUCUCCAAUAAAGCAUUGUAAAUAAUUAUUGUUUCUAAAAAAAAAGAGUAAAUAUUCAUUUUGUAAUUUUCACAUUUCCAUUGUAAUUAAUUGUAUUUUUAAGUUUAUGUAUGUAUCUUCGGGUGGUCCCCUGGACACAAGUGAGAGCGCACAUGUCUCUUCACCCGUAUUAUACUUGUAUUUUAAACUUUGUUACAAAGAUUACUGUAUGCUACAGCACCGCUACAGUCUACAGUGAAGAAUUCUAAAGAUUACUGUUCGCUACAGCUCCGCUACAGUCUACAGUGGAGAGUUCCAAAGAUUACUAUAUGCUACAGCUCCGCUACAGUCUACAGUUUAAAAAAUUUUUGUAUAUAUUCUAGAGGAAGACUGAGACUCCUCAGAAUUUUUCCAUUCUCCAAUUCUCUUCUUCUCUCUCUUUCUCUCUCUCUCUCUCUCUCGGGAAAUCUGGAUUAAGAUAGCUCAAGGAAAUUUUUCCUGGUCUUGUAAUUUUCCCUUUCUUCUCUAUACAAAUCAACCUUUGUAAAGCAUUUCGAAAAAGCAAUUAAUGUAAGCAAUUUAUUUUUCAAUUCUAUUUAAAGCAUUUGUAAUUUAAAGCUUUCAAUGUAUGUUUAAAUUUUCGCAAUUUAUUUUAAAGCAUCACUUGCAGACUGAUCUGUAUCAUAUCUGCCUUACAACUGUUACGUUCCUCUGAGGCAACGAGACCAGAUCUCAAUCCUCAGUUGUAUUCUUUUUUUCUCCCUCCUUCCAAUCAGAUCGCUAUUUCUGAUAUCCAGAUCUAGUGAUAUUUUUGAGCCUUUAGAUGUAUGUUUGUUGCUAGGCUUGUUUAAAGAAUCUAAUAAAAUAUUUGAUAAAGCAUUAAUUAAAUAUGGAAAGAAGAUGAUCACAAAAGAAGGAAAGCAUAAUCGGAAAUGACACAAGUGCUGUUGCAGAUGUUAGAGCAACCAAUGCUGCAGUAAUCUGGGAGAAACGCAGGAGAAAAUAUAGGCGCGAGUCAGUAAUUAAAUUACAAUCUGCAUGUUUCCUAAUUAAAACACAGGCACGCGCAUAGGCACUGGUUUGGAAAACCUAAUUUGCAAAUAUAUAAAGGGGGCAUGCACCACAUAGAAGCGGCGGUGGAAUUAACAUUCAAAAACAAUUAAAAAGGCAAGAAUAAGAUCCAGAUUAAGGAGGGCUAUUCGGCAUCAUUGAAGCACCGAGGAGGAUCCUUAGACUUUCAUCGUGCUCAACUCAUAUUAUCUUUCUUCCUUUAAUUGAUUGGAUGUAUUCUGCGAUCAUUAUGUUUAUUUUUCCCAUUCAGAAUAUAAACUGAAUUUACUUGUAGUUGAGUGACAAAUAAUCCAAUAGGUUCUUGACUGUUCUUAUAUGAUGUUAUGAUAAUUCUGUAGCAUUAUACUCUAAUAGUUUUUAUGAUAUAAUUAUUAUUUCGGUUGACCACCCAUUUAAUAGUUUCAGUUAAGAUAGAGCAGCAAAAGUGCAUGUCUUAGCGGACAUUAUUAGAGUAUUACUUGUUCUUAAAUUAAGUUUUCUGGAUUAGGUUAUCUUAAAUCUCAUAAGGGCAAUGCUUGAAAUUAAAAUUUGUGAUAUCCUAGACAUAGGUGCUCACCUUGUAGGGUAGAGGGAUUAAAGAUCAUAAAGCCAUACAUUAAAUUUAUGAGCAACUGGUCAUUGUUAGUAGAUUUAAAGGUAUGAGAUUUCCAACAUGCGAUAGUUGCGGAUGCAGAUUUGUUCUGCCCAGUGCUGCAGCACUUAUCAUAACAACCAGUGCUAAUUCGGUAAUCAACAGUCACCCCAUUAGGAGAAUUUGAUCAUUCAACUACUAUAUUCUCAAUUGAAUCUUGGACACAUUUAAUUAAGUCUAUUUUAUUUCGAUAUUGCUUUAAUUCCCAUCUCUCACAAUUAUUAUUUACGAUAGAAUUAUUUGGCAAUUGUUUGUUUCGGUCUUUAGUUGACGUGCAUUAUUGUGAUUGCUUUAACAUUUUGAGUAACAUCAAUCCUUGUGGAGACGAUCUUGAACACUCAUCACUUUAUUACUUGUUGUGUAUACUUGCACAUUGGCAUUGAUAAUAAUUGAUUAUACAAAUCAACCAACACUUACUACAAGAAUAGUGAAUUCAAGCACCUAAGGAAAAAAGAAAAUUUACUUACUUUCUUUAAAAUCAGCUUGCUAAAACUCACUUUCUCAUUUCAAUAGAAAACGAAAUGUAUAUGCCAAUACACCUUCUCACACACACACGUAUGCAAGCAUGCACACAUAGGCACAUGCAUGCACGAACGCAUAGAUACGCACACAUGCACGUACAUUCGUGCACAUCCACACGCACGCACGUACGCACACUCAAACACAGACAUAUAUACACACAGAUAGACACACGCGUGCUCGUACAUGCACGCAAGUAUGCACACGCACACACACACGUUUGCAUGCACACACCCAUGCGCACCCAAACACUGGAAGACACACAAACAAACACACACGUUCGCGCGCACAUGCACUAUAACAUAUGUGAGAAAAAACAGUGAGGUGGUUAAAACGUAAAUAAAAAUAAAAGAAGAAGUUGGAAAUAGGGGAACACAUACACACCUAUCAAAGAGUGAGAAAAGCUAUAAACUGACCCAAAACCUGACAUGACCCGCGAACGUCACCUGGUCGAAUCUCAUGAUUUCAACCAGCUAAGCUUGGUACUAAUCUAAAGCUUGAAGAUCAGUCAUCGUAUUCCAGCCAUCACAGUCGCUGAUUAACGACCAGAACGCCGAUGUUUUAGCUCGAUAAGCAGCGGUAAAACCACCCCUUCUCGCCGUUGAUUUCGUCAGUUUGGGGUGACCUCACCGGCUAGGUUUUGUUCCCUGACUCCCUUUUUAUUUUCCAACCAUCCACAGCCACCAAAAGUCGUUGAUUUACGGUGUUCAGCCGUUGGAGUUACACGACUGUUGAGCUAGAUUCUGGGGCCGUCGCCAUGCAUGGGAGCUCACCGCCGGUUCUAUUGAACUCAGCUCAGCCAGAAAUGUUUAAACCAAGUUUCCCAGUCACCGUGUAGAGAUUUCAGAGUAUUUUAAUUUCUGACCCUGUAGAGAUUUUAGUAAUUUCUGAAAUUCAGGAUUGGUUGUAAUUACGGUAAUUCAAUAACUUUUUAUUUCGGUGUAUUUUAAUGAUGUAUGGAUUAAACGAUAUUUUAAUAAUUUUAUCGACGCGGGAGUGGUAUAUUAUGGACAAAUGUUCGUUUCGAGUUUAUUGCAUAAAUUUAGUCUUAAUUCCAAUUUACGAAAAUUAAUUAUGUCGUUUCCUUGAUUUAGGAGGAUCCGCGAGCGAGAACUAAUUCGUGAACGUGGGCGAUAACUGAGUAUGAACAUCGUCAUUAUGAGUGGAAUAUACAAAACCU